Molecule: long non-coding RNA, 50183 nt
Filed under: Vitis vinifera (wine grape)
Lineage: Eukaryota; Viridiplantae; Streptophyta; Magnoliopsida; Vitales; Vitaceae
Description: long non-coding RNA (VVIN_LNC001888)
Source: RNAcentral
UUACAUCCAUUGUUCAUUACUCAAAGCCUGCAACCAUGGCUUUUGUAGCUCUUGUACUCCUGUCCCUCCUGACUCCUCUCGUCUCUGUUUACUCCUCCGAUGAUGUAAAACCAUGGUGCAGCCAGACACCCCACCCUCAACCUUGUGAAUACUUUUUGAGCCAAAAGACUGAUCACUCCCUCAUCAAACAAAAGUCCGAUUUUCUCAACAUAUCAAUGCAACUUGCUUUGGAACGUGCCAUGAUUGCUCAUGGUGACACCUUUUCCCUGGGCUCCAAGUGCCGGAAUGAGCGAGAAAAGGCUGCAUGGAAUGAUUGUCUAGAGCUCUACGAGCACACCAUUCUUAAGCUCAAUAAAACUCUUGAUUCCAACACUAGGUGCACCCAAGCUGAUGCUCAAACAUGGCUUAGCACUGCUCUUACCAACCUCCAAACAUGCCAAGACGGGUUCAUCGACCUUGGUGUAUCAGACUAUGUUUUGCCCUUAAUGUCCAACAAUGUUUCCAAGUUGAUUAGCAACACUCUAUCCAUCAACAAAGUUCCAUAUGCUGAGCCUAGUUACAAAGGCGGUUACCCAACUUGGGUGAAGCCUGGUGACCGAAAGCUUUUGCAGUCUUCUUCUCUGGCUUCACAGGCGAAUAUUGUGGUGUCCAAAGAUGGCUCAGGGGAUUACACAACAAUAGGAGCAGCAAUCACUGCAGCUUCCAAGCGAUCAGGAAGUGGAAGGUAUGUGAUAUAUGUGAAGGCAGGGACAUAUAGUGAGAAUGUUCAGAUUGGAAGCGGUUUGAAGAAUAUAAUGUUGUUGGGUGAUGGGAUUGGAAAGACCAUAGUCACUGGAAGUAAGAGUGUGGGGGGAGGCUCUACUACAUUCAAUUCCGCUACAGUUGGUAAGUGUCUAUCCUCUAAGCUAUUGCAUUGAUGUUAUUCCUUUUCCUACAUACAAUUGAGAAUUUGAGAGAUUGAUUUGAAUUGUAUCUUCAUAUUAAGGGCCAAUAUGAGCAUUAAGUUAAUUGCUAAGACAUAUGAUUGUGCUUUUUAAUUUCAGCUGUGGUUGGCGACGGCUUCAUAGCUCGUGGCAUGACAUUCCGUAACACUGCUGGAGCAUCCAACCACCAGGCAGUGGCUCUACGAUCCGGGUCGGACCUCUCAGUUUAUUACCAAUGUAGCUUUGAAGGGUACCAAGACACUCUCUACACCUACUCUGAGCGACAAUUCUAUAGAGAAUGCGAUAUAUAUGGUACUGUGGAUUUCAUUUUCGGAAAUGCUGCAGUUGUGUUUCAAAAUUGCAAUAUUUACGUACGUAACCCUCCCAACAAGAUCAACACAGUAACUGCCCAAGGUAGGACUGACCCUAACCAAAACACUGGAAUUUCCAUACACGACUGUAAGGUUACAGCUGCUUCAGAUCUAAAGGCAGUGCAAAGCUCGGUCAAGACAUACCUUGGGAGGCCAUGGAAAGAAUAUUCUCGGACCGUCUUCCUAAAGACCUACCUUGAUAGCCUAAUAAACUCGGCUGGUUGGAUGGAAUGGAGCGGUGACUUUGCCCUAAAAACCCUAUAUUAUGGAGAGUACAUGAACACAGGCCCUGGGUCAUCCACAUCUGGUAGGGUAGAUUGGGCUGGCUAUCAUGUGAUUACUAGCUCAACUGAAGCAGCAAAGUUCACUGUUGGUAACUUCAUCUCCGGCAAUUCCUGGUUACCAUCUACCAACGUUCCUUUUACUUCUGGCCUUUGAAUUGAUCCAAUUAGUGCGACAUGAUGUUCUAUCAUCUUCCUACAGAUAUAUUUGUAAAUCUAGAAGGACAAAUAAAUUGGAGGGGGGGUGGCAAUAAUCCCUAAAAGUCUAAAGACUUGGCUUGUCAUCUAAUAGCUACAAUUGUUUCAUUGUACCUUGUUACAAAUAGUAUGUUAUGAUUCUUUAUUGAUUGUUGUAAAUAAUGAUAUCGUUUUACAUUGUUGGUGUUUAAUUCGUUUCCAAUUUUUUGUUUUUAAAAAUCGAAAUUCUUACAUAAAAUGUAAGAAUUCUUAUAAAAAAGUAGGUAGAUAUAUACUUUGUGUGCUCAGAAAUAAUUUCUUAUAAUUUUAAAAAGUAAAAAUUUCAAAAUUUUUAAAUUUUGAAAAGAGUUUUAAGAACCCGAAAAAUAGAAAGUAUAUUCAAAAGUCACCUUAUUUUAUUAAUUUCAUUUAUAAUUAAAUAGAUGACAAGGAGAACAUGGACCAUUAACUUUCACCCUACUAAAACAAAGGCCCUACAUAUUCAACACUCCUCAAUGCUGAAAUUUAACCAUACCUAAUAUAGCCAUGAAAUCCAUAAACUUUUCCCAAGACAAAAUAUUUUGUAAAUACAUCUAGAAGUUGAUCAUGGAGCUAUAAUAUAUGAUAUCUUGAUAAUUUUCUUCGGCCACUAACUCUCUGUGUCUCGUGCACCAAUGAAAUAUCAUGAUUUGAGCUCUUUUUACGUUCUUCCACAUCGUCAAACUUUUCUUAACCUAACACUAUGACAAGUUGUAGAAGUUGUUGCAGUAUACUUGGCGUCUAUACAGUUGACGGCUGUUUAAAAUGUACCUUAUAGCACAACUACACAUGAUCUUCAUUUCAGCUUGUCCAAUUACUAUAAAGAAAAACCACAGCUUUAGACUACUAGCAUUAGUGUGCUAAAUACCAUAUGAGCUUGAUCACUAGCUUUCAAGAAAAUCUUUUACAUACUCCUCUUCCUUCAUAGCAUUGCUUUACUUCCAAGCCAAGAAAGUAACUAAUCAAGUUAAGAUCAGUCAAAUUCAUUGAUCAUCUUAGUAUGGAAUUUCUCCAUUCGACUCCUCUAGAAACCAUCUUGCUUGAAGUAUCCAACAAUUGGAUUGUACCAACUGUUUGGCACCUGCUAAAAGACAUCAAAAGUCUUUUUAAUCAAUAUAUGCCUUCAUUUUUUUUAACCCUAACUUCACAACCUUAGAGUUCCUACAUACACUUCUUCAAUAAAAAAACCAUUUAGAAAAGCUAACUAAACGUCAAAUUGAAAAAGAAUUAUUUUUUGGUGACUAGUUACAAUUAAAAUAGUUUUAAUGUUGUCUAAUCAUGCAAUAGAAGCAAAAGUAGUUUUUUCAUAAUCAUUAUCUUUGCUCCACAUAUAACCUUUGGCAAUGACCUUACCUUUAUAAGCAUUGCUUAACAAAAUUGUAUAUUAUAUAUAUAUAUAUAUAUAUAUAUAUAUAUAUAUAUAUAGUACUUAACUUAGCCCAAGAGGCCAAACAAUGCCCAAAGACUCCUAUACCUUUCUUGGUCGGACCGAUUCAAUCGGCUAUUUUUGACAAGGUCUAGUUUCUAGUUGUAAAUAUGUUUUGAUUUCUUCUUGUCAAGAAAUAAUAUUAUGACAUUUACGCUAUCCUAGUUUUCCUUAUUUGAAAACUUGUUUCUAUUCUUAUUCAGAAAUAAAAGUCAAUGUUUGUCCAUUGUAAAGUAUAUGCCUACUUACCAAACAUAAUCAUGCAAUGUUUCAUACUCAAUCUUAUAAAUCUUCAAAGCCAUUUUCUAUAAUUCAUAGUGACAGUAAUAAACCUCUCAGGUAAAACAAAUGGUUUUUAACAUUUAUAGAUGAUCAUACACUAGUAUGUUGGGUUUAUCACUUGAAGGAGAACUCUGAAACUUGCCAAAUCUUCCAAAACUUCCAUUUAAUGGCCAAAAUAAGUUCUAAACACAAAUUUAGGUUCUAAAAGUGAAUAAUGAUAGAAAAUACUUCCAUUCUAUCUUGAGAGAAUACCUAGCAAAACAAUGGAUAAUUCAAAGCAAAAAGACUAAAAUAUGUUGAUGGUGUAGCUCUCAUGGCUUCUGAUCUUAAAGUAUUCUUUUCAUAGGUGAUCAUAGAUCAUCUUGAUUUUCUAAUGGGAUGAAGAAUUCCUUCUUCUUCCAAAGUCAUCUUUAUUGUCUUGGAGAUAAUUGGUGGAGGAAUAUUUUGACCUCGCUUCAAUUUCUGAACCAAUAUCUUCAUGUUUAUCUUGGGAAAGGAUGGAGAGGUUGUCUUUGAAGAGGUUUUGAUACUUUACAAUUGUCUUAAUUUUGGUAAGUUGAGUGUGAAUCUGGAACUUCUUGAGAAGGAACUUAGACGCAUCUUCUAAGGCUAGGGUGUGAGAAGGAUAAUUCUGAAGAUACUUUUGAACUACCUAGAUUGAGGCAUCACUCUUCAAGUCAUUCCACCAUUUUGUCUUAAAAGUUCUUUCUAAAAAGGGAAAGAUUGCUAAGGCAUAUUCAGUAAUGAUAUAGUCCUACUAGAUUAUCCAUGCCAGUGCAAACUCUAAAGAAGAAUAAUAGUUAGGGGAAAACUAAAAGUUCCCUUGGGGAAAAAGGAUAUUUGGAAAAUCCUAAAUCCCUAAAGAAAGAGAGUUGGGAGGAUCAUUGUUGGGCAAAAACAACUUCACCAACUAUGAAACUAGAAGGGUGUUGUUAAUUUAAAUGUGAAUUGAAAAUAGAACAUCCUUAAUGAUAAAAGUUCUUAUUUAGAAUAAAAAAAAGGCAUCCAAACAUGCCCUCUAACAAUCCCAAUAAUUAAGAAGUCUGGGCUUAGAGAAUUUGGAAAAUUACCUUGAAUAGUUAGAAUUACCUCUCCAUUGUGAAAUUCUAAGGAUAUUAAGGAUAUGGAAAGUAGAGUAUUAAACUUAUCUGGAUAGUGCUUAAUUUUGAUAGAUUACUUAGUAUCCACAAGGAUAAAUUCAUAAAAUUCUCUUAAUUUUAAGUGAUCAACUAAAGGAUAGUGCAAAUUAUCAUAAAAGGUUUUCUUAGCAAUCUUUCUUGGGUUUUCAUUGAACUAUUCUCUCUUAAUAAUCAUAAUAGGUUAAUUGGGAUUCUUUUUCCAAUCCUGAGAAUUUUUAGAAACUGGUGUGAAUUUAAAGAAAAACUUGAAGCUACAUCCUUUUGAAAGAAAGAGAAUUGAGAAACCUAUUUAAAGUCUAAUUAAGACCCUCAGCUUGAUGGAAAAUGAGUAACCUUAAAGGGUUUUGGUUGGUCCAAAAUAUCAUGAUAAAGGGUUACAAACUUGUUAGAAAGGAUAGAAUAGGGCCACAAGGAGAGGGAAUGGAAGAAAUGAAAGAAAGUUGAUUUUUUUUUUCUUCUCCUUCUUGUUCAACCUAAAGACUCCAAGGAAGUUUUCUAGUGCUUAAAAUACUAGAAGAAUCUUAGGUUUUCUUAAAAUAUUUAAUUAGGUUAUUGUGGUUUCUUAAAUGAUUUUGAAGGGACUUAGAAGGUUGGAUAGCCUUUUUAAGGGUCAUUGUUUUGUGAAUCUUGCAAAAUUUCAUGCGUAAGAAAACUAGGGAAUAAGUUGUUUUUUCCCUUAAUAGAUUAAUUUAGAAAUAAAUAAUAAUUAAAAUUGUGUGUCAUUUGCCAAAAAUAUGCUUAGAAGCUAUAUUUUUAACAACCUUUUACAAAAUUUAUUUUGUUGAUUUCCAAUCAAUACAAAUGAAAAACUUUUGAUUUAAAAUAUCAUCUUGAAAUUUUGAAAUCCAUAAAAUAAUACUUAAAUAUCUCUUUUUUGAUUGUCCAAUAAUUGAAUUGGGCUUGAUUCCAAGUUUAUGAGGUACAAAUCUUACUGUUUCUUCUUUGCCCCCAAUUUUUUUGCUAAAGAAUCCCACAAUACCCUAUUUCUAAAGUAUUUGUUUCAAUAAUCUUAAAGGCUUUAGGAUUAGCUAAUGUAAGGCAUGACAAAGCUGCAACUUUGGUUUUAAUAAGCCUAACAAUUCUAGUAUGUUUCCCAUGGUAUUGGAUCCUUCUCAAGUCUUUGCUUUAAAGGUGCACAUAACUGACUUAUGUCUUUGAGAAAUUUUAAAACAUAAUUGAGACUUCCUAAGAAAUGCUAUAAUUGUUUCUUAUCCUUGAUCUCAUUUGGAAACUUAUAAGUGAAUUGAACUAAUUUCUAAGUUGGAGUUAUAGUUCCUUGGUAGAUACCUAGGAAUCUAACCUUGGUCUCCAAAAGAUUAAUCUUAGAGGCUAAUAAACUUAAACCAUUUUCCUUAAUGGUUAGGAUAAACUUAUUAAGGUGUUUCUAGUGUUUUUUCAUAAAUGAAGAGAAAACUACAACAUCAUCUAUAUAAACAAUGAGAAAUUCUGAAAAUAUCUUAAAAAUCUCAUUCAUUAUGUUUAGGAAUUCUAAGGGUACAUUCUUAAGUCCAAAGAGCAUUACAUUCCAUUCAUAAUGUCUAAAUGAUACUAUAAAUGUUGUCUUAUAACAAUCCUUUUUAACAAAUUGGAUUUGCUAAAUCCUUAUUUCCUAUCAAAGUUAGAAAAUAUGUUAGACUUAUUACUAACUUCUUUGAUUGAAAAAAUAAUAUGAUUUUCUUUAGUCUUAAUUUUCCUACAAAUAGUUGUGGAUCUGAAUUCAUUUAAGUUUCUCUCAUAUGGAGAAUAAGCAAACUCAAAAAAGAUCUCUUGUUAAGGAGUUUUGUCCUUAUACCUUGGUUGUCUACUUCACUGAUGGGUUUAGAUAGUAUAUUUCUUCUCUUAAAUCUUAUACCAAAAUAUAUAAAGGGUUGUUGGAUACACAUCCCUUAAUUACAAACUUGUGCUUUAGACAAUUUGUAAUUAAUCUCUAAUCAAACUCUUUUUGCACAGUAAAAGGCUUCCUUAGCUUUUUGUUGGACGUCUGUUAAACCUACAUAUAUUGGUGUAUUGUCUUAACUCUUGGACUUCUAACUUAUAUCAUUCUAUUUCUUCCUAAAGAUAUUUAAUAGUUACUUCUUAAGGGGAAUUAUGGUUAAAUCUUAUUAAGAUUUCAUCUAAGUUAUAAGGGUUUAUAGUCAUCCUAUUUUAUAAUUUGUGAACAAAUUUGUUAAAAAUUUCAUACAACUUUAAUUUUAUUGAAGAGUCUACUACUUUACGAAGUCAUGCUAAAAUUAAUUUGUGUUCUUUGGUGAAAACAUCUAUAAUCUUGGGUUGACAAUCACAAGUAUCCCUAAUACAUUAUUCUUGAUCACUAGAUCUUUGACUUACACUUUGUUUAGAUUUUGAAUUUUGUUAAUAUCAUCUUGAUUAUCUUAUUUAGUAAUGGAUUGAGAUUCUAAAGUGUUUAGCAUUAAACCACAUAGCAUAUCUUUUAACUAAUCUAAAACAUUCAAGUUAUUGAUUUUUUUUUUCUACCUUACAAUCUUCUUAAAAUGUUCUACUUUUCUUAAAGCAAUCUAGGUUUGAAUGUGAAGGAGUUUCUAUUUUCUUAUGAGGUUCUUUGGUAGACUUUCUCACAUUAUAUCUAAAUCUUUUAGUUUUAUUUUGUCUAUGUUUUCUAUAUGCUCCUCAUUUGUUAGGGUAAAAUUUUUCCUUGGUUUUUUGACUAUUUGUCUCUUUCUAGUUUGCUUAGAUGAUGGAGGCUUAGCUUCUUUUUUACUAAAUCUAAACUGACUACAAAAUAUUUUAAAUUCAAUUCCUUUUUAUAAAUGUUUUGUUUAGAUUUCAUUUGUUUCUUAAACUUAAUAUUAUUACAUAAGUUAAUAUUUUCUAUAAUAAUAAUACUUACAAUUUCUCAAUAUGUUCAUUUAUUAUAAGGAAUUUGACCAUUAAGUUGUUCUCUAAUCUUAAUCCUUAUUUUCUCUAUAAAAAAGAAAAAGAAAAAAGUCUAGGUCUAAAUAAUCUUAAGAUAAAUUUUUCUUUCCAAAAGGAUUGAUUAUAGUUUUAUCUUAACAUUACUUUGGUUAAAAGCAUGUCUUUAUACCAGCUAAAAUCAUGAAGUUUAGGUCACUUAAGGUUGGUUAAAAGAUCUAUGGUUUUAUCUUUGAUCUUAGAUGCAUCUCCUCUGAAAUGUUAGAGAUAAAGAAAAUUAGAGUAGAGAUUGCAUUCUCUGUUGUCUUUUCCUUCCUCAUCCUUCACUAUUUCAUUUUCUAAACUAGUUCUAUAAGCUCUUAAUAUAGAACGCAAGAUUGCAUCCUCAGUCUUUCCUUAUCCUUUGCUAUUUCAUUUUCUAAAUUAGUUCUAUAAGUUCUUAAUAUAGAACUCCUAUCUUCAGAUGUAAGAUAAUUAUCGUACUAGCCUUUUAAUCAGUUUGCAAACCCAACAAUUAGUGUCUAGGCAACAACAUGGUCUAACAAUCUAUUAUUUAAUUUAUAGUUUGUGCUAACCAUAAUCAUCUCCUAAAGUUUGGUUGAUAUGUUACAAUCAAGUAUACCAUCUAUGUUCUAUUCAUAAAUGUUCGACUUAUAUAUGAAGUGUGUAUAUAUUGAUUCUUUUCCUCAUAUUGCAUAUAAGGGAAGAUUGGUCUAGGGUAAAAAUUCUUAAUCCUAGAAAUUUUCUAAUUAUGAGUUUCUUUAAAAGUUUUUAUUAGUUCAUUAUUCUUCAACAUUUGGACUAGAAUCUUCAUUAAUAGCAUUAAUUCUUCUUAUAUAAGAAGAUUAUGAGGUAUCUAGAACAAUCAAAUUCUCAUUUAAUGCUUUUAACAUCUCCCUUAUUCAUUUUAUUAGAUCUUGGUUUGGUAUAGGAUUUUCCUCAAAUUUCUUAGAUAACUUAAAUGACUUAAAUAAAGGCUGAUCAUCUUUUUUGUUGAAGGUUGUCAUAAUGUGUUCUUGGUUUUGGAUGACUUCUUUUGCUCUAUUGAGUUGAUCUCCUAAAGUCUUAAGAAACAUAUUAGUAUAAUUAUUUUGUUCCAUGAUUUUCUUAAUAUUUAUUGCAUUAACAUUUCCUUUGUCAUCAGUUUUAGUUUAAAAUGUGAUGCUCUUACUAUUGUCCCAUUAACAUAUUUGUCUAUCUUAGCUUUUGGAGGAUGAAUGGAUUCUAUAUAUGAUGAUAUUAUCCCUAGUUUUUCAUUAUCUAGUAUUUCUUGAGUUAUUGUUAAUAUCCUUGAAUGGAUAACUAGGUUAUUUAUUCUUUAAAGGUUUCAAACCAUUUCUAAAGCUUAACAUGAGUUUGAUGUUUUCUUAAAUAACCAUAAAAUUAUUGAUAUAUGUUUCUAAAUACUUGUGAAACAUUACUAAAGUACCAUAACUUUUUUCUCUUUAUUUUCUUCUAAGAAGAAUUCUUGUUUUAACAAUUCUUUGUUAAUUAUAAAAUCAUGAUAUAUUAAUUAAUCACUUGGGAAUAUGUGGGUAAUAAAUUUGAUAAUUCUUAGUUAAACUAUCUUUAAAAUAGUGGGGUUGUGUUAUAUUUGUGAGGCUUCUCACUUCUAAUAACUUAAUAUUCUUAGGAUUCAAAUAUGUGGAUCCUUCCUCCAUCUUAGUGGUUCUAGUUGGAAUAUAUGAGCAUGAUACCUUGAAUGGUUCAUAUUCUAAAAUUUAGGAGUUUUGGAAUGUUUGAAAGAAUUAGAGAAUAUUGAAUCUCCUCAUCCAAAAGGGUAUUGAACAAUUUGUUCAAUUUUUUUCUUUUUCUAUUCUUUGCUUUGUGAGUUCCACAACGUUAGAGAAAUGGUAUGAUUCCGGAAAAUCAACUCUAUAUUCCACAUGAUUUUGUUAAGGAUGAUAAAGUUGGAUUUACUAAUUUAAUCUGAUUGAAAAAUAAUAGUUUCUCCCUUAGGACUAGUGCAUCCCAAUACUACACCGAUGGUCAUGCUUUCAUAUAUGAAUUUUGUAAUUAUGGAGAUUGGACUAUUUCCUUCUUUAAACUUAAAUCCACGAGUCUUAACAUGGAGGACAAUUGAAUUCAAGAUGCCAACAUCUCUUAAUUUCACCAUGAAAUUAAGGAAACACUAAAAGUAAACCGGUCCAUCAUUUAAUCAUGUUUGAAUUGCCUCGAUAAUGGAUACUUUGUAAUCAAUAUCUCCAUUAUCCCUUCGAUGCAUAACAAUUGAGGCAUUUAAGCCUAUUCUAACCAAUGACUUAACAACCACUUGAACCAUUCCUAAGUGUAUGAAAUUAUAAUCUUUCUUAUGUCUUUCUAUAGAUUUGUUAUCUAUCUUAUUAUUUAAUCAUCUUGUUCAAAGUUUAUGGUUUGUUCAAUCAUCUUAACCAUGUACAUAGUUGAGAAAAACUUUAAUGAUCAUUUCAUAUAAAUUUUUUUAUUGGAAACCAUAGGUAUUUUUCUAUGUUGUUUUGAAUCUUAGGAAAAUUCAUUUCUUCACUAUUUACAAUAUUUUCUUGAGGAUUUAGGAUCUUCUAAUCAUAGAUAUCUCAACAUUAAACUCAUUUUAAGUCUUAAUCUAUUACGUGUUCACGAGUUUACAAAUUUAAUUGAGUAAUCACCAAAAACCCUGCCCCAAACACCUCUUCUUUUGGCUAACACGGGCUCCUCUAAAUCCCCUCUAGGCAACUAUUACUCCUAGAAUAGAUGAAGUCCUAAAAUAAAUUGAAUAACCAUUUCCAUGGCUAUGAUAUCAUAAACACGCGUGACAAUGCGUAUACAUGGUAAAAGUCCUAAAACAAAUUCAAUAUAUAAAUAUAUAUUAAUAGCAACUUUGAGAUUCUCCCUCUCUCUCUCUCUAUGUACUGUCUAUAAUUAUUCUUUUUUAACAGUUUCAAAGUGUUUAUAAUAUUUAAUUACGUACUUUGUUCCACAAAUGUGAUGUCCAAAUAAUUUGUUGUGGAUUGUUUGAGUGGGAGAUAUUUAGAAAACCUAAAAAUGAUUUUUUUCCUACCCUGAUUAUGAAUAGAUUAAUUAAAUUUGAAAAAAAAUGUAAAAAACAAAAUGAUUUUGUCAUGUUCAAUUAUAGUAUGAAUAAUACAAAAAAUUAUAAUUAAAAUUAAUUACAAGUUUAUAAUUUUCAAAUAUUAAAUCUUUGUACCAAAUAGUUAAAAUAAAUAAAAUGAGUUUAAAGUAAUAUAUAAAAAUAGUUUAACUUUAAAUUAAUAUUUUAUUUUUAUUCACUUUUUCAUUUCUUUUAAUUUUCUUCUAUCUUUAUUUUUUAUUUUUUUUAUUUUUUUUUAAAUUUUCUUGGAAUCAAAUAUACCAAUCCUUAAUCUAAAAAAAGAAAAGAAGGAAAAGAAAAAAGAAAAAAAUUGAAUAUUUGAGAAAGCCAAAUAAUAUUUGUGACCAAUAACUAAGGAUGACAACAUGGGGGGUUUGGAACGGUGGUCCUAACCCAACCUCAUCCCGUUUAUUCAAAAUAAUUUUUAUACCCAUCCCAUUUAACUUUUUUUAUUUUUUAUUUUUUUUAAAUUACUUUUAAAUUUUUAAUUACAUUAAAAUAAAUAUAUUUUAUAAAUAAUUAAAUUAUUAUAUUUUUUAUAACUUAUUUUAUUGAAAAUAUUUUAUUAUUAUCUAUGUAUUAAAAAUAGUAAAAUAAAAUUUAAAUUAAAUUAAUUUUAUAUAUAAUGGAUAAGACAAUACCGUCUCGGAUUUAAAUUUUUUUUUUUUAACUCAUCCCAUUAGAAACAGGGCAAGACGGAUAUCCGGAAAAAACAUACUCCAUUGUAUCCCUACCGAUUACUCAAACCGUAGUUUUCAAAGGGAUAACUACAUUUUCUGGGACCAGAUGGAUAGAUCAUUUAUCCAGGGUUUUCAAAUCCUUUUCUAACCAAUGAGUCCUUGGUUGGUAUGAUGAGACCGAACCCACGUCAAAAUCCGACAAAUUAAUUUUAAAAAAUAGACGCAGUAUAAUGUGAUGUCUUAACAUCUUUGCAAAUGAAAGUUGAAGUCAGAUUCCUAAAGCAUUGUACUUUUCCUCUGAAGCCUUUUAAGCAUUUGUUCGUCAAAGGGGGUCACGUCUGGAUGGCUCAAUUAACAUUUUACACGUGACAGUCUCAUAUAUAUGGAACACAUGCACGCUACGUAGUAAAAAAUUGGGCGUCAAAAAGACAUAAGUCCUGAAGAAAGUUGAUGUUCGUGAUCAUGUUUUGCAUGGUUUUCUGAAAUUAAGGUGGCGCCGUCUUUUGAUUAUUCAUGAGACCAAGACUGUGUUCAGGUCUUGAAAAACCAAAGUUUAAUUAAUGACAGCUGUUUAUGAUUAUAGUUCAAUUUAAUUAAUGAUAUUAAUGCUUAAUUACUCCAUUAAUUACGGUGACAGCAAAAAGCUAAUUAUGCAACUCAUGAAUUGAUAUUCAAAAUUAAUAUUAAAAGAGAUUAUUUAAUAUUUUAACUCUUUAAUUAAGAUUACGUGCCCAUUUCCAUGCCCAUGCAAUUAAUUAAAAUAUCCAUACUGCAUGCUGCAUGUAGUUGUUUCAUUUUCUAUAUUAAAAUAAAAUAAAAAGAAAGAAAAGAAGAAAGAACAAAAAAUAAAUUCAAAGCCCCAGGUUGAUAGUGUUUUUUAUUUCUACUUUAAAAUUAAUUUUCUAGGUUAGGCAUGGAACUGGGCUCUUUCCCAAAGGUAACAUGAAUCUGAACCAAAUUAAAAAAUGGGUACGUAGAUCCAUGCCAACCCUUGACCUGCUGGUUGUGUCGUCCACUUGAUAUUGUCUGCUGGCCCACACUACAAAAAGGUGAGGAUGAAAGCGUUCCAUGCAUGAUCUGCCCUGGUUUCCUCCUUUUCAACUGGUCAACAUAUAUACAUAUAUUCUGCAUGAAAAGGUCAAUAAUGCUAGCUACAUCCUAAACAUUAAUUCCUCCCUCUGUAUGAAGAUAUAAUCAAACUUGAUAUUGCCUGCUCAAAGCCACAUAUCCCCAUUGCUACUGCCUCUAUCACUACAAGAAAUAGAAUAAUUAGCGACAAAAUUUUUAGAUUGGGAAAAAAAUUGUCCCUAAAUGUAUCAAUUAGCGACAAAAUUAAAAAAUUGUCUCAAUAUUUUUAUAUACAUAGUUUUAGAGACGAAAAAUGUAUUUUUUUGUUUCCAAUUAUAUUAAUAUGCAAACUUUCAAAAAAAAAAAAAGUUGUUCAUAAUCAAUUUUGCGAUGAAAGUAGACAUUUAGGGAUGAUUUUUUUUUUUUUUGUUGCAAGAUAUAUAUUUUGGCGAUGAAAUAAUUUAUUUAAUGUUUUGUUACUAAAAAUGUUAUAGAGAUUUAGAGACAAAAAUAUAGCUUUUGUCGCCAAAUAUACUGAUAUGAAUAAGUAAGUUAUUCAUAAAUUUGGCUAUGAAAGUAGACAUUUAAGGAUGAAUUUUUUUUUUCAAGAUAUAUAUUUUGACGAUGAAAUAUUUUGUUGAAUUUUUUGUUAGUAAAAAAUGAUAUAGAAAUUUAGACACAAAAUUUGCCACUUAUGGUUAUUUUGCAACAACAUGAUAUUUUUAUUUAUAUAUAUUAUUUUAUAUUUUUAUUAGGAUAUAUUACUAAAAUUAGAUUGAACAAUAUUAUAUAAUAUUAAAAUAUAUUUAAAUUUAAUAUAUUACAAUCCAUAUAUGUAGUAUGAAUUUUCUACUCGAGUCAUUAAAUUGGAUGAGAAUUUGAUAUGAGAUUUUAAUAUGUAAAAUUCCUUUGCAUUGAUUAGUUUUCUAUAUAGUGAGUUUUUAAAAUUUUGUUUAAUUAAAUAUGUGUAUGACAUAGUUACACUUUUGUAAUUGUAAUAUUUUGUUACAUUAAAUACUUUUCAAUUAAUGUUAUAUGAUCCAAAAAUAAUAUUACAUUUUUAAAUAUUAUUUUAUGUUUUUAUUAGGAUAUAUCACUAAAAUUAGAUUGAAUAAUAUUAUAUAAUAUUAAAAUGUAUUUAAAUUUAAUAUAUUUGUAGACCACCCCUUGGGCCUUCUUUCUUUUUAGGCUGUCUUUGGUGGGCUUGGCCCUUUUUUUAAAGAGAGCAGGCUCAUUUGAGCUUUUAUUUGGGCUACUCUCCUUUUGCACCUCAUGCUUGGAUCUUCUUCAUACUUGGCAUUUCAUGUCCAACUUUCCCAUACCAUCUCUCAUGGACGUGGGCCCUUUUCCUGCAUGGACAUCCACCUAUUCCAUGCAUGGCCUCCUCCCAAGGUGAGUUUUAUUUUGCUAUAUUCUCUUUUCAAAAUUUCCUCCUUGGAAAUUUUCCAUAGGCGAAUAAAAUUCCAAAUUUAAUAAAAUUCAUGCUGCCAUAUUUCCUUCUUGGCAUGCAUUUUUUAUGAUUUUUAAAAUCAUUUUCUCAAACACCUUGAGUUUUCAAAUAACUCCUCAUUUUCCAAGAGUGGGUUGAGCCCAUUUGGACCUUUCUAUAGUUUUAGUCAGUUGCAUUUUAGGGACCUCAUUGGGGGGGGGGGCGCGCUCAUUUUUAGCUCCUUUGGGCCAAUAGUCAGGGAAAUUUUUUUCCUCUUAGUUUUUUUUUGUAGCCAUAGGGACCACCUUAGGAGGCCACACUUAGGCAGAGACAGAUUUGAAAAUUGAGAAAUUUUGAAUCAUGAAUAAUAUUGAGAAAAUUAUUUUAAAUCAAGGAAAAUGAGAAGAUUUAUUCAUGUUUAUUAAUGGUAGGUGAGAGUUGGGAAAACUAUUCUAAAUUAAGGAAAUAUUGAAAAUUUUUAUUUAAAAUUAAAAGAAGUUUAAAAAAAACUUAUUAAAUAAUAGAAAUAAUGUAAUACCCUAGAAUUAAACUUAAACCUAAAAUAAUGUAAUAGCCCAAUAAAUAAUAGAAAUAAUAUAAUUCAUGAAACUGAACAUGUUAUGGCCGCACAUUAUAAUAUAAAUCCCACACGAAAUGCAAUGACCACCAUGCAUCAAAUAUUCCUUAAAUAAUCAAAUUAAUGUACUUUGGAUGUUCGAUAAAAUUAUAAUAAUCAUUCAUUUAAAAUGUUGGCAGUCCUCUUUAUGGAUCAAACGAAGCCAAACUAAUUCUAACUUUUCCACAUUAAUCAACAGAUUACAACUAAAACUAUAAAAGUGAAAACAUGCAAAAUAUGGCACCAAUUUAAUUAAAGUUAUAUAUAUAAACAACUACAAAUUAAAUAUUGAUGCUUCAAAACUAAAAUUAGCAAACUUUAAAACAAGUAAACAAUAACAUGAAAUUGACCAAAUUAUAUACAUCUACUAAAUUGAUAUUAAAUCCUAAAUUAAAAUAAUAAACUUGGAGUAUGAAAAUAAUAGCAUGAAACCAAUUAAAUUAAUAUAAUAAAUUAUGAAACACACGUAAUCUACAUAAGAUGAAUGAUUGAGAACACAAAAAUAUUAACAUGGAUCAACUAGAAUAACAAUUAAUAAUUUUAUGGGUAAUAUAAACUAACAUGGAUAUUUUAAAUAGCAACUAAAAUUUUAAAAAGUUAUAAAAAUUAACAUGAAUCAAUAAAAUAAGAACUGAUAAUUCCAAGGAUAAUAUAGAUAAACAUGGAAUUUCAAAAUCCAACAACAAAUAAUAAAAAAAAUGACAUGAAUAUUCAAAGUUACCAACAAAUAAUUUUACAUAAACUAGCAUGGAUAUUAUAAACCUACAUUGAUAUUAGCUUCCAAUUGUUUAAUUUUAAAUUUAAAACAUGUCUAACCCUGUCAACUUGAAAUUAUAUAUAUAUAUAUAUAUAUAUAUAUAUAUAUAUAUAUAUAUAUAUAUAUAUUUUAUUCCAUAAAACAAACCACUAACAUGUUGAAAGUAUUCCAUGGCCAUAUAAAUUAUUCAUAUAUUUUAAAACGUAAACUAAAGCCCUAAGAACUAAUAACUUUCCAAAUGAAACUCUAAACAACUACAAAUUAAUACGAAACAAUUCAAAUAUUCUGAGCUCCCUUUUCUAGCACCAGCCGUCGCUUUCUCUCUAAAAAAUGGACCUAAGAAUCAGCUCUACUCUGAGCUCCCUUUCUCGCACUCUCUUCUCAAAACUCAUUGAAAAACCCUCCUCAAUCCCGACUCUCUCUUUCUUCCAUUCUCACCCUUCUCUCUCUCUCAAAAAUGUCCCAAACCUCUCUCAGCCUCCUCCGUUUUUCCCCUUCCCCAAAAACCUCUCUACCCAUACCUUCCCAUUCCUCUAAGUUGGAGGUGGUCCUUUCAGCAUGGUGGUGACGUGAAGCCAAGGUCAAAGUGGGAGAGCUUUAUUAAGGCCCCUCAUGUCUGCCCAAAACUCCCUCUCUCUCCAUGGCAAAAAUGUUAAUGAGGCCUUAAAAAAACCAAAUAAAGCAAAGCCACCUUUUGGUGGUCUACAAUACCACUUUACUUUUCUAAAAAUAUUUAUAAUAUUAAAUAAAAAUAUAAUAUAUUUUAAAAUAAUAAAAUUUCCUUUUAUUUUUAACAUGCUCACGUUUAAAUAUUAUACAUAUUUUUUUAAUAAAAUAAUUUACUUUGAUAAUCUCAAAUAUAAAAAAUAAUAUAAUUAAUUAUUAAUUUAUUUAUAUAUUUUAAUUUUUUUAUAAUUAUUUUUAUUUUUAUAAUUAUUUUUAAUUUUAAUAAUAUAUAAAUUAUAUAUUUAAUUUUAAUUUUUUCAUAAUUAUUACAUUGAGAGCAAGUGUGCAUAUAAGGGGCAUGGAGGUCGUGCACUAAAGGAAAGGUGGAGUAUCCUGCUGAUACCCAAACAUCAUUUAAAUUAAAAUAUCACAAUUUCAUCAUUUCAUCUAGUCUUUCAAGAGUAGCCACUCAUUCCUACAGGACUAGACACUCAUGUUCAAUUCCACCUACCACUUCUCUCUUGUUUGACCAACAAGCAAAGGAAACCUCCUUGCUAUGAGCUUUAUAUGGUCUCCUUGCACAUGCAUUCUCCACAUGGAAACCAACAUCCUCUCAAAAUAAAAAUAAAAAUAAAAGCCUUCCAAAUAGGUGGUCUACAAUAAGUUGUCUAUAUAAUAAUGGGAAAAUUGUGUUUUGGGCCUAACUGGGCCCAAAAAUUAAGAAAUGGUCCAUAUAUCUCACAUAAUUAAGCCCAAGACCCAAAGAAAACUUGAAAAUUGAUAAGAAGGAUAUGCAAUAUUUAAUUUGUCGAAAAUGCCCUUUGGUGGCUUUAAAAAAAUAAAAAAAAAACAAAAAUCCACGUUGGAAUUCCAUUUUCCCAAAUUUUAGUUUGCAGUAGGCGCUUUCAUCUUCCCCGUUUUUGUCUCUCGCUGUCGGCCAAAGAAUGCCCUAAUCCUCUAUGGCAAUUUUGUUAUUAUCGAUCUCGUCCUUCCCGACCAUCUAAUUUUAGGUGUAGAUAGCGGGGAUGAACCUCAAUCGGACAGAGGAGGCUACUGGACGAGAGAGAGUGUAGUUGUCACCCUCGACCGCUACAAGGUUGGAAGAGGAGGCUCUUUCUUUAUUCACCAAGUGCACUUAAAUGGAGUGGUAGAAUUACUGAAUUCCAAUAACACUGACACCUUUAAGGUCAAUGGUCAUCGUUUCAAGCCAUUCAUUGAUCCAUUCAAGCAAGAAAAUGAGGAAAUCAACCUCCUUGAGCCAUAAAAAGCCUAAUCAGAAAAGGGUUAGAUGAACUUGGUUUCACUAAAGUCCAUAUUUUUUUGUUUAACUUUGUUAAUUUAAAAGCUUUAUUAAUUCUUUUGAUUUUAAUUUUGGUCUUAAGUUGUGUUAUUUAUAUGUAACUUAAUUUUUUUGAAUGAUCUAAUUUAGGAGGAAUUGCAAAGAAAUUGAAGGAAGAUCGCUUGGAGUAAAAAAAAGUUCAAAAACAAGGGAAAAUUCAUGGCCUGCGAGAUUUCGCAGCCCAAAGGAAGCCCUUAUGAAAAUGGCCCUUGGCUGCAAAAUAAUUUCGCAACCCCCCCCCCCCCUCCCUUCUAAUUUCGCAGCUGCGAAAUGGGCUGCGAAAUCCCCAAAGCUUUAAAACUCCAAUUUUCACAGCCAAAGACCCAUUUCGCAGGAGGUUUCACAGCUGCGAAACCACUCUUUGGCACAUGAGUGCCAUUUCGCAGCCUUCCCCCUCAUUUCGCAAUUGCGAAAUGGGCUGCGAAAAUGCCCCUCCACUGCGAAAAUGCCUCUCUGUUACGAAAUCGCCUCUCCGCUGCGAAAAUUAAAACCGUCCCUUGGCAUCCAUUUUUAAACAUUAUAAAUUCCACAUUUCCUUUUAAACCGAUCAUUUGAACUUCAAAUAGGUGUCAUGAGCAACCUUCCAUCUGCUCCCAAAAACGAAUCUGAAGCACUCAAAAGGCUGCAAAGCUGUCAAAAAUCUCUUGUGGGCAAAUGAAACGGCACAAACCUUGAAGAACCAGUGGAAAAACAUAAAAUAAUGAGGCGCGGGAGGCACUUUUAAAAAAGAGCUUUGUAAACAAUUAAAAAGUAGUCAUUUUAAUUUAAUAUGAAUCAACGAAGCUCGACACAUAAAUGGAAAAUCACCCAGUUUCAGGAUAGCACAUUCUUUAUUUGCUUCAUCUGGAAGUGAAAAGGAAAAACGAGUCAACAUACAGUGAUGUACUUGUUUCAUUUGUCUCAUUAUCCAUCACUCCAUACUGUCCACACAAUUUUGCAUUGAUGCUGAUAAAUCCCUCUGACAAACAAAACAAGUGAACAAAUACCCUCCCUUGUACACCCUUGUACAUUUAGUACAUUAUCCUUGUACAAUUGGUGUAAAUGUCUUGUAUAGUUGCAGGAAUUCGACCUAGCUACAACUUAACGAGUUAAUAUGGACGGGCUAACCACAAUUCCAAUGCCAUGGUUGAGUGGAAAGGGGGCAAAUCAAACCCAAUUUAGGUUCUUAUUCAUCAUAAGUGUGCAACCACAUUACAAUGAAUGUGUACGUAGGGAAUUGAGGAAUCACUAUGUCCUAUGUUCCCCUUAGAAAAACGAAGUGAGAAAGCAAUUUUUCCAAGUAGUUCAAAUCCUUCAAGAUAGGUACCCUUGUAAACACUUGUACAGUUAGCACAUUUGCAUUGUACACUUAAUGUAAAUGCCUUGUACAAUACCGAAUUCCAACAUAGCUAAGACCGAACGCGUGCUUAUGGGUGGGUAAACAAUGUUUCCAUUCUCAUGGAUUAGGGACAAAGAGGAAAAGUUCACCCUUAUUUCGGUUCAUAUUCAUCAUUGGUAGAGGAGCAAAUAGAUGAAUUAACAUGGUGGACAUCAAAUAAAAUUAAUGGAAUGAGUAUGUUAAAAGAUAUUUCUUAAAAUCACUGACAAAUGAAAUAUAAAAAUUGUACCUAAAUAUCAUUAUUUAUUAUAUUCAACCUUAUAAUUCUACUAAGUUUGAAAGGUUCUCCCAAAUUUGACUAAUAUUUUAUCAACCAAAAGUUAUACUUUAUAUUCUAAAUAGAUUAAUCAUAAAAGUCACUAUAAUUCAUAUAAAUAAGAAUUAUACUAUAAAAAAAAAAGGAAGCCACCCAUUUUUUAUAUUUUUGUCGAUCAUCUCUGGUAUAAAAUUCCAAAUUUUGAAUGACAACAUUUACAAUUAUAGAAGUGUAAAUAUGAAUACACACAUGUUAUUUAUUGUUUUUUUACACGGAAGAUAAAGAUAAUUGUAGAUGAUGGUGAGGACUUAUAUUAUAUUCAUAAUUUUUUUAUCUUUUUCAAUUUCUAAUAAUUAUAGUAGAAUCCUUUUUUCUAAAUUUUAAGACUUUCUUGGAAAAUGUGAUACCAUAUAUAGUAUAAUCAAGAACCCUAUAUCAUGUGACAAAUGAUGCUAUAAAAAUUAAUGGAAGUGUAUGUGAUAUCCAUAGUUAAAUUUACUUUUUUAGAUUUAUUUUAUUUAAUAAAAAUCUCUUAUAUAAUUCUUGUUCAUUGUAUAACUUAUACCUUAUAAAGACUAUGUGGUCUAUUAACACCAUUAUUAUUCAAAACCUUUAACCUGUUAUUAGGUAAGUUUUACAACUUGGUCACGUCAAUCACUUUUACAAAUUAAUUUGAUGUUUUAUUUUUCAAAUAUUAAAAGGUGAUGUCAAUGAUAGAGAGAAGGAGGUGAUGUUGAUGUAAAUGAUGGAAAGAGAGUUGCAUUAAAUGAGAGAGAGAAAGAGGAAGAGAAAUAGGGGAAACUAAUUUUUAUUUUAUCAAUACAAGUAAAUAUUACUCAAGAUCCAAAAAAAGUUCAAAAAUAAUAAAAUUUGAUGAUUUGAAAAUUGUAAUUUAUACAUCUAUAUUUAUUGCUUUCCUCAUUUGUUUAUGUUAGGAUGGUUAAGUUAAAAGAAAUGUCAUGUUGAAUAUAAGAUACAUGCUCAAAAUUGUUAAAUUAUAUAUAAUGAUCAUAUCUAUAUUUUUAAAUAAAUAUAAUAAUCUAAUUAUAAUUUUUUAGAAAUUUUAUAAAAAAAUUACAAAAUUUAUAUAAGGAUUUUGGAAUCCUCAAACUUGAUAUUUUUUUGAAAUCUAGCUGGACUUGAAGAAGAUUAUUUUUUAUUUUUAUUUUUCAAUGUCCAUCCAAAAGUUAAUCAAGAAGUCAAAUAUCUUCACUAAUUUUCCCAUCUGAUUUCUUUUUUUAGAAUUUGUAUUUUACAAUUAAUAACACUUAUACUAUAUAACAUUAUUAUAAUCAUUUAUAAUUACUAAGUACAUAUAGGGCAUAAUAAAUAUGAAUAGGAAAAAAAAAGCAUAAAAAUAUUCAUAUGACAUAUUAGAAAAAUAUAGUCCAAGUUAACUAAAAACUAUUGUAAUAUCACUUUUAGAUGUAGUUUAGGUGAUAUCAAAAUCAUAGGAUCACAUUGGCAUAUGUUCCCUGUUGUAGUAUUAGCUAAUGAAUUUUAAUUUGCAACCAGUUUUUUUCACUCAUGAUAAUCUUCUAUUUUUCUAUUUUAAUUAUUAUUAACAAUAUAUUUCAAAAAUCAAUUUUUUUAGUGAGUUAUAAUUAAAGUGUAAAAGUAAUUUUGAAUUUUGAUGGUAAACUAAAAUUUUAUAAUUUUACAAGAGACAUUCAUAUUAAUUAUAAUAAUAAUAAUAAUAAUAGUUAAUUGAAAUUAAUAUUAUUCAAUUACUCUUAGACUUUAAUUUAAUUUAAUUAUUUUUAUUUAUAAAGUUAUAAUCCUAUUUUGAUUAUAAAAUAAUAACUAAUAUUAUUAUAAUAUGCAUUUGUGAAAAACUAAGUUUGAGGUAAGGAAUCUUUAUGCUUUAUGCUUUAGCUGUACAAAAUAAAUACUCAAAUGUAAAAGGAAAUAUAUUUAUAUAUAUUUUGAGAGGAUGUGAGUAUCAAAGUGGGUCAAUGUUCAUCAAUUACAAGAAAUAAAAUAUAGCUUUUGGAGAGUUAGUGGUGCAACACUAAGUAAGAGCAGUGGCUUUUUUUCCCUGUCCUUUCAUUCAUUAUGAGAACUGCAAGUCUAUAUGCCUAAAGAAGUGUUUGUUUAGAGCACAAUGAUGUUGUGAACGGGAGACAAACAAUCAAACCUUUUGGUGUUUGCUUGAAAGGGAGGGUUUGAAUUUACCAACUCGCAACUUGGAAGUUGGAACUAAGUUCAGUUGUUGAAACUGAGGGCUCAGGAAACUUCCACUGCGUACAACAAUUAAACAAGUCUAUUCAGAAUUUAUAAAAAUUUUCAAUCAAAAAAAAAAAAAACCAAUCCUUUAAUUAAGCACGUAGUACAUACCCAUAUAAUUCCUGAUUUUUAAUUUGUUUGUUUAAUAAUAUUUUUAAUUACUGUUACUCUUUUUUUAAUUUAAAUAUAAGUUAGAUUGCAUUUUAGUCCUCAUAUGAAUUCUCAUCACCAGUACACUUCAAAAGGCGUUGUGAUUUAUUAAGAAUAAAAUAUAAAUGAUUUAAAAGACUACCAACUUCUCAAGUUUAUAAUAUUUAUGGAGUUUGUGGGAGCAUGAAGACAUCAAUGUAGAAGAGAAGGCAAGACACAUCCAUAUCAACAGGAGCUUAGUUGCAAGCAUCGUCCAAUGCUUCAAUCAGGCAGAUUGAGCUUUUGUGUACACACUUAUCAGUAGCCCAGAGGAAAAGGACCCUACACUUUGCACUCUUCCAAAUCUUUUCUCAUGUUUUUUUUUUCAAAUUUACACGUUCCAAUCCAUUCUUUUCACUAUAUUAUAAAAUCUUUAUUAUUAAAUAAAUAUUUUUUUUAGACUCUCUCUCUUCAUAGCUAUUCAUUUCCUUACCUACUAAUUUCCUUACCAAAAAAUAGGGGACUGGUUUUGGGGGAAAUUCUCAUGUGUUUCUUUUGAGAGGUAGGUUUGAAAGGAUUUUUUAGGGAGCUUUCAGAAAAACAAAUGGGGUGAAAGAAAAGAAAGAAUAGAGAAAGAAAGAGACUUUGGGAGAAGGAGUUUGGACUGGUUUUUGGACAGCUCUGGGGAGGUUUUUUUUUGGAAACUGUGGAGAGCGAGGAAGGUCUGGACUGGUUUUUUUGGAGAUAGAGAGAGCAAAAGAAGCCGAGAGAGGAGGUAAGAAGCAAAGAAGAUAGGAUAGUGCUCUCAGGUAUAACCAUUAUAGCUCCCUACUCAUUUCAUUUUAUGAUACUACUCUUGAUCAUUUUACUGCAAUUAUUUUGAAUGUUGCCCUCUGCCUACCUUUUUGGAUCCUCUAGAAUGUUGUUCAUUUUUUAUUUUUUAGUUUUUGAGGUGAAGAGGAUUUAGAAGAUAGAGCCAAAAGAGGGGACUUACGGAUUGGUAGUAGGUGGUGAGAAGAUCUAGAGAUUUCUCUCUUUUUUGAGGAGAUUUAAAAAUAACAAUGCUUUGACAUGAAGAAUUAUUGCAAAGGUCAUGAAUAAGGUUAAAUUCGUAGGAUUUUUGGGUAUAAUUGACAGGGCACAAUGGACUUAAUUAUAUAUGUUCAAUUUGGAUUCCAUUUUAUGUGUUUCUCAUGGAAAAUGAAUGUGGUGCAAGAGACUCUAAUAUGAUAAUUUUUAAGAAUUUUCUUAUAUUACAAAAGUUUCUAAAUAUUUACAGUAGAUAUCUUUGUUGUGCAUGUUGUAUAAUUUUAACCUCUUCUUAUCAAUUUUCAUUCAUUGAUACAAAGAAUAUUGGUUAUCUUAAAGAUCAAUUCUAUAUACAUAAUUAAAAUUAACAGCUAGUUUCUUGAUCUUCUAACAAUUUUCCUCUCCAUUUGUUAUGGUCUUGUCUUGUAGACUUGUUGAGUGGUUGUUGAGUAGCUGAUAUUUCUUUGCAUUAAGGUUAGUAAUAAUUUGGGCUUCACUUCUUCUUAUAUUUGAUUAUAUGCUUGAUAAUUCAAUUUGUGAAGUAUGUUUUCCUCUUUUUUGUUAUGCAUCAAAUUAGUUGAUUGAUCAGAAUAUUUUAUUUCUUUAUAUGAAUCUAAAAAUACAUACUUAAAUUUAAAAAAAUAUUUCUAAUAGUGAUAGCAUGUUAAUAUUCAUAUAUGUAGUAUUUAUUUUCAAUUUUUUUCCCUUAUAUAGGAAAUACUUAUUAUGUUUUACUAAAUUAUUUAUGAUAUUAAAGGUUCAAUUAAUUUAGCAUAUUAUUAUGAUUAGAAAAUUGUGCUAAGAACAAAAAAAGGGCUAUGUGUCACAUACUACCUUGAGGUUGUUGAAUCAUUUUUUUAUUUAUGAAAUAUAAAGGACAUUCUCUCUUAUCUAUAUGGUUAUAAUGCAUCAGUUUUCUUGCUGAGUUUCCUAGUUAAUCCGAAUCACUAAAUUGCCGCACAAAUGCUGAUUCGCAACAUGUGACCUUAUUUAAAAAAUCUUGCAAAUUAUAUGAUUUGUUUUAGAAGCCUUCUUGAACACAUGCAUAUGUACCUGAUUUACAAAAAAAGUUAAAGAAGUAAAUUUCUCAUUUUUAUUCUUCAUAUAUGCAUGCAUAAAACCUUAGACUUCCGUUCAAGUAUCUUUGUGUGACAAAUUUUUUUCUUAUUACAUGUUAGAGACAUUAAAGUUGUCAAAGAGUGAAAAUGGUCCUAUCAAUGAAGUAGUUUCAAAUUGACAACUUCUUAAUUUGUCUAACAUGUGAUUAAAAUUUUGUCUACAAAUUAUGCUUGAAUUGUCCGAUUGGACAGUAUAGGAUAACAUAAUGUCAAAGAGUGAAAAUGGUCCUAUCAAUGAAGUAGUUUCAAAUUGACAACUUCUUAAUUUGUCUAACAUGUGAUUAAAAUUUUGUCUACAAAUUAUGCUUGAAUUGUCCGAUUGGACAGUAUAGGAUAACAUAAUGUCUAUGAAAUCACCCUCAUAUGCUUCGUUCAUUUCUUAAAAUUUCGAUAACAUUUCCUUUUAUUCUCUGGGUGCAUAUUUGGACAAGGUUAAAUAAUGUCUUGCCCAUUUUGUGUACUUAGAGAACUAUGGGGAAAUCCUGUCGAAAUUUUGUUGAAGUAAAACAAAGCUUAUUAGUGGUUGAGUCAUAGGGAUUAUGCAUUCCUAUAUGGAAUAGGAACUACAACCUAAAUUAGGAAGUUGAAUAUAUUAGAAUGCAUAAGACACUCAUCAUAUGUUGAUAUGCUCAAAUUACUUUUUUUUUUUGUGUAUUCUUAAAUCAUCAUGGUCCAUUUUUAUUAUAAUUUUUAUUUAUAAGGUUUAUGUCUUAGGUAGAAAAUUUAUAAACUUAUUUUUUUUAUUCUAAUAUGAACCUUAAGAUUCUCUCUUUGUUGUUGAGAUUUUAACUUUAAGAAUAAGAUUCUAGAAGGCCUACAACACAAAGUUAAGAUUCAAUGUAAUUUGUUUUAGAAGCUUUUUGUAACUAUAUUGGUAUAAAUUUUAACUUUUUUUUUUCUCUACAAUUUUGAUCUUUCAUAGUCAUACCUUUAGAGAAAAUUACUAACAUUGGAAUGCGAAUUAUAACUUAUAUCUUCCUUCUAUUUAAUGUUAGGUAGAAUAAUAAGUACUUUAAUAUUGUCUUUAUGUGUUUAUUAAGACAUCAUAUUAUAAUUCAUGAAUCUAUAGUGUUCACUACUUCUUAGUUGGUUGUUAUUUAAGUGAGCAUUGACAUUAUAAUGAUCGUAUCAUUGGUUGAUAAUCCUUAUUGAACUUCCCCUAUGAUUUUUCUUUUCCAAAUUUUUUAUGGAUUAAUUAAUUACAUUGUUGGUUUUUCUUUACCUUUUGUUGGUUGUUUUAAAUUGAUGGUCUUGAGUUUCUAUCAAUAAUAUUUACCUAGAAUCGUAACUUCAAGAUCUAAUGCAACAUACAGGAACUACUAUUAACGCAUAUAGCUACCAAGCUCAUUAAGGAAUAAGGAUUUCAUAUAUGUGAAAAUAGGAAUUUGCCUAUGCAAAGAACAACACCUCACCUUUGCAUCAUUCUAUCACAAGAUAAACUAGUUGUGCAUGAGCAAUUUCUUUACUUUAUAUGUGUGAGUAUGACCAUGUAAUAGCGAGACUAUGACCACAUUGUUUUCACUUAAUUUAUCUCAUUUCCUUAUUUCACAUAUAUACUAAUAUGCAUACAUACUUACAUACAUAUGUGUGUGUGUGAGUCUAAAUUUAUGUCUAUACAUCAUUGAUGAUUGUAUCAGAUCUAAGAAGAUGGAUAGGAGUUGGAUGCAACUACAAAAUAGACUUUGUAAUGAAUAUGUUGAAGGUGUGAGAACAUUUAUUCAGGCAGCAAAGCAACACUUAAGAGUGGAUAAUAAGACACGUUGUCCAUGUCGACAGUGUUUAAAUGUAAGAUUCCAAGAUUUGAUCAUAGUUGAACAACACCUAAUUAGAUAUGGGUUUUCAAGUAGUUACAAUAGAUGGAUACAUCAUGGUGAUGAAGUUGAAGGUGUUUCACAUGCGCAACCUGAUAUGUGUAGUGAUAGUAAUGGGUGUGCGAUCAAUGACAACUAUGUUGAUGAUGAAAUUAAUGAUGCAAUAAAUGAUAUGCAUGGGCCAAGAAAUAAAGAAGCUAACUCGAAUGAAUCUAUUGGUCAUGAAAUAGGUAGAAAUGGGAAGAAUAUUGAUUAUUUGUUUAGUGAAGCUCAUCGAGAGUUGUAUCCAGGUUGUACUAAGUUCUCAGCUUUGAGUUUUCUUGUAAAGUUGAUGCACAUAAAGGUUCUUAAUCGAUGGAGCAAUAAGUCAUUUGACAUGUUACUCGAACUACUACUUGAUGCUUUUCCAGACGGAGCAAACAUUCCAAAAUCACAUUAUGAUGCGAAGAAGAUGUUGCGAGAUUUUGGUUUAGGAUAUGAUUCCAUUCAUGCAUGCAAGUAUGAUUGUUCAUUAUUUUGGAAAGAGAAUGAGACGUUUCACAAUUGUCCCGUGUGUAAUGAACCAAGAUAUAAAAAUGGAAAGAUCCCUCAGAAAGUGUUACGACAUUUUCCAUUAAAGCCAAGGCUACAAAGAUUGUUUAUGUCAAGAUAUACACUAACUGAUAUGCGAUGGCAUAAGGAAAAAAGAUUCCAUGAAGAUAGAGUGUUGAGGCAUCUGGCAGAUUCAGAGGUAUGGAAGGAUUUUGAUAAUCAAUAUCCUUGGUUUGCUUAGGAUGCUAGAAAUGUGAGGUUAGGCCUUGCAACUGAUGGUUUCAAUCCAUUUGGUACUAUGAGUAACAACUAUAGUAUGUGGCCAAUUGUCCUUGUGCCAUACAAUAUGCCACCUUGGAAGUGUAUGAAAGAAAGUUUUUUCAUGAUGUCAUUACUUAUUCCUGGGCCACAUGCUCUAGGUAAGGAUAUUGACAUAUACUUACGCCCUUUGGUAGAUGAGCUUAAAGAGUUAUGGCAUGAUGGUGUCCAUACAUUUGACAUGUCAAGUGGAGAUUAUUUUCGCAUGCAUGCAUGUCUACUAUGGACUAUACAUGACUUUCUUGUUUAUGGAAACUUGUCUGGUUGGAGCACAAAAGGGUAUAAGGCAUGUUCUACUUGUAAUGAAGACACAUCCUCACAGGGCAUUAGAAGCAAAAUAUGUUAUAUGGGCCAUAGGAGAUUCUUACCUCUUAAUCAUAGUUGGAGAAGGAGUCGACAACAUGAUGGUAAGCCUGAACAUAGACCACCACCUAAGACACUAUCUAGUGAGGAUAUUUUACAACAAUUGUCUCAUGUUUAUUAUUCUAGGCCUGGUAAGCAUAUAAAUAAUAAAGACAAGAAAAGGAAACGAGGGCCUGAAGAAUUAAAUUGGACGAGGAAGAGUAUUUUUUUUGAGUUGGAGUAUUGGUCAAAAAUUAAGAUGAGACAUAAUAUUGAUGUCAUGCAUGUUGAGAAGAAUGUCUGUGAUAAUGUGGUCAAUACCUUGUUGAACAUUGUAGGGAAGACUAAAGAUACUAAGAAAGCUCGUUUGGACUUGGCCGACAUGAAGAUAAGGAAUGAGUUACAUCUUUAAUUGAAAGGAAAUAAGCUAUUAAAACCCCAUGCAUGUUAUACCUUGACUUUCAAAGAAAGAAAAGAAUUUUGUAAGUUUCUAAAGUCAGUCAAGUUUCCAUAUGGUUAUGCAGCAAACAUAUCUAGAAAUGUAAACAUUAGCGAUGGGAAGAUUUUAGGGUUAAAAUCUCAUGAUUGUCAUGUCUUGCUUCAACAGCUUCUCCCUGUUGGUAUUCGUCCUUACUUAAAUAAGGACAUAUGUACUGCAUUGGUUGAAUUAUCUGGAUUCUUCCAAAAGUUAUGUGCUAAGACAUUGUACGUUGUGGACCUAGAAAGAUUAGAGGAAGGAAUUGUCAUAAUAUUGUGUAAACUUGAAAAGAUAUUCCCUCCAGCUUUCUUUGAUAUUAUGAUCCACUUAGCGGUGCAUUUACCUCGUGAGGCUAAGCUUGCUAGACUAGUAAGCUAUCGGUGGAUGUAUCCAUUUGAGAUGUAUUUUACAUACAUUUAACUAUAUUAAAAAAUAAUGAAAUUUAUGUAAUGUUAUCAUGUGAUAAAUAAAAUUAUUUUUUUUUUGGUACUCUUCUUUCAUAUUUAGGAACUUGGGCACCUUAAAAAAAUAUGUUAGAAAUAAAGCUCGACCACAGGGUUCAAUUGCUGAAGCAUACACUAUGAAUGAAGCUUUAACAUUUUGUUCAAUGUACCUUCAUGGAAUUGAAACUUGUUUCACUCGAGAUGAAAGGAAUGAGGAUAAUCGAGAAUAACAAGCUAGUGGCCAUUUAUCUAUUUUCUCACAACAAGCACGACCAAUAGGUGGUCGACAAUUACAACAACUUUCGAAAGAAGAAUUGGAAAAGGCACAUUGGUAUGUCAUAAACAAUUGUUGUGAGUUGCAACCCUAUUUAGAGUAAGUGUUAACCAAUCUUGUGCGAGUUGUUUAAAUAUGUUUUUUUUUAGAGCAUUUGUGUAAUAUAACACCUUAUAUACACACUUUUGUGAACAAUGCACAUGUAGUGAGCACUUGGAUGAGUUACGAAGGAUAAGUGCUUCAAAUUUGGAGUUGGAACAAGAAAAAUAUUUUCCUAAGUGGUUUAAAGAUCAUGUAAGUUAUUAAUCAUGUCUUUCAUAUUUCUUAAUGGUAGAGUAUAUAUUUUAACAACAACAAUUAAAAUGCAUUUUUCUUAUUACAGAUGAAACAAAUGCGUAUUAAGCAUCCAUUUGAAGUCACGAAAGAACUAUAUUCAUUGGCAUGUGGACCAGAUGCUCGAAUUCACACAUAUACAGGAUGUAUUGUAAAUGGAGUUCGUUUUCACACAAAAGAUCGUGAUGAUCAUCGAAUUACCCAAAAUAGUGGCAUUUGUGUUUCAGGGGAGCAUGAUGGAGAAAAUGUUAAUUUUUAUGGUGUUUUAACCAAUGUGCUGGAACUAGAUUAUUUAUUUGGGUAUAAGAUUAUCCUUUUCAAGUGCAAGUGGUUUGACACAAAUCACCAAAGGAAAAAAAUACAACAAGAUCCACACUUUACCAUCAUAAACAUUAGUUCUACUUGGUAUGAAAAUGAUCCAUUUGUACUAGCUACUCAGGCUCAUCAAGUGUUCUAUCUUGAUGAUUAUAAAAAUGGCCAAAAUUGGAAAGUUGUGCAAAGGGUUCAACAUAGACACUUGUGGGAUAUUUUAGAGGUGGAUAGUAAUAUAGAAGUUGAUGCAAAUUUUGACGAGACAAACAAAGAUGAUGCUUACCAAGAAAAUGAGUCAUGUGAUAUUGAAUGGUCAUUUGAACUAGAUGAUCAAUUAGAACAUUUUGAUCGCAUUAAUGUUAAUCCAGAAGUCAUAAAUAAUAACAUUUUGUGUAUGGGUGAUAGAAAUGAUGAUGGUGAUGAUGAUUUCAUAUGCGAUGAUAUAAUAGAAGAAGUUAUCAUUGUUGAUAAUGAUAACAUUGUGGAGGAGUGGCUUUCAAGUGAAAGUGAGAGUGACUAAACAUGCAAGUAUAAUAUUUAAAUGAUAAUAUGUUUUCCAUUAUCAUGUUUUACUAAUUCAUUUGAUCUUUACAUAUAUAUGUUUUAUUCAAAUUUCAUUAUUUUAUUGAUUACAAGUUCUCACCUUAUUAAUAAUAGCUUCCUUUCUAUAUUCAUAUUUUCAGCAUAGUUGUAGAUGGCUCCUAGAAAAAGACCACGUCCACCUAUCAUACCUAAGUAGUUUGAGGAUAAUGUGAAUGUAGGUCAUAUUGAUUUUUAAUUAAAAUUAACUUGUUAAAAUAUAUGUUUGACAUUUUUUUUGUUUAAUGAGUUAAUGAUGUCAAAUUAACACUUAUACAUUAAAAUGCUCAGCACAUAAGAUGACAAAGAAUGACAUUCAAAGACUUAGUACUGAUCAACUCAGCCAAGGUCAAGAAGGUAUUCCUCCGUUAGUGCAAACUAGUGGGACAUGUAGGAGGUUAAACACCAACCUCACAAUGGAAAUGAUUUUUGACACAGGUAAAGAAGUUGAACUUCAAUGUGCAAGUUGAUGUUGCUCAUACUAGCCUCAACAGAAACUCCACAAGUAAGCAUGAAUGUUUAAUUGGUUUAAUUAGAUAUGUUGAAAUAAAAAAUUGAUUUUUAUUUUUUAUUUUUUUAUUGUUGCAGAUGUAACAAUAUUGAAGGUAUAAAAAUAUAAACUUAGUUAAGUCCCUUUGUAAUUGAUAAAUUUAUUAUUAGAGAUUUAAUGUAUUCAUUUUAUUUCAUAUGUAUAACUAGAUCAAAUUGCUAUACAUUUAACUUCAAUGACUUAAUUUCUAUUAAUUGAUAUAAUUUCUUAAUGCUUAGCACGUAAGAUGACUUAUAAUGAUAGCAAGAGAGGAGGCAUAGACCGACAACUUCAAGGUGUUGGGAAUCUAGAGAAAACUACAACUAAUGCGACAUUGCAAGCCAAUGGAACACAUAGUAGGCAUCAAAACAACUCCACAUGUAAGCAUAUUGAACUAGUUUAAUUAGAUAAGUUACCUCAUAAUUUGAAAUUGUGAUUGUUUCAUUACUGUUAUAUACUUACUAGUGCUAAAGCUAUAAAAGCGUAAACUUGGCUAACUCCAUUUGUAUUUGCUCUAUUCAUUAUCUUAAAAUCCAUUCCUUUUUAUUUGAAAUAUAACUAAACUAAAGUGUUAUAAUUUAUUUGUAUGAAAGAAAAAAAAUACCUAUAUUAUUUAUUAUUAUUUUAAAUGUAUUAGACUAUAUUAUGAAAAAUAUGCUUUGCAAAAUCAUUGUUUAUAGAAACCAUCUUGGUGUUGAACAACAUCAUAUAUGUCAUUAAUUAAUUUGUAUAAUUUCUCAAUGCUCAGUACGCAGGAUGCCGUGUAGUGAUAGUCAGAGAGUUGAUACAUUUCUACCUAUGCAAGAUAUUGAGAAUGGAGAUGACACCCCAAUUCCCCCUCCAACAUUGCAAGAUUGUGAGACACCAAGAAAUGUUAACAAAAGCUCAACUCGUAAGCAUGUUGAAUUGGUUUAAUUGGAUAGGUUAAAGAAAAUUUGGAAUUUUUCUUCUUGUUGUCAUAGACUUAGCAAUAUUAAAUCUAUAUAGGUAUUAAAAAAACUUUAACUUUAUUUUUGAAAUAUAGUCAAAUUUAGUCUAAAUUAUGCUUUAUUAGUAUGUUUGUUUAACAAAUUUCUUUAUGUUCAAUGAAGUUAUAUGUGCUAAUUAAUUCUUAUAAUUUUCUAAUGCUCAGCUUGAAGGAUGACUCGUAGUCACAGUCGGAUAGUUGGUAUAGAUGAACUCAUGCGGGGUUUUGGGAAUGUAGAGGACACCAUAGCCCCUGCAAUAAUGGACACGAGUGAGACACCUUUUGAUCCCAAUAACAACACCUCUACCAUGGAUGCUGAUUCUACCACUGGUAAGGAUGUUGGAUUAGUUUAUAUAUGUAUAUAUAUACAUAUAUAUAUAUAUUCAACAGGUUCAGUUGCAUCACCUGAAAUUAUUAAUUUUCAUUGUUUAAGUUGCAUUGAAAUUAAAUGAACUUUCUACUAAUAUAAUUUAAUCACAACAAACAUUUGAGACUUUAGUGUACAUAUGGAUAUACUUCUAUGUAAGUUAGAUUAUCUUAUGGAAAACAUCAUAAAUAGAGAUUAAUCAAGUUUAUGUGCAUUACUUAAGAAACACAUUAAUUUUCAUAGUUUUUUAUUUAAGUUGAAACAAAAUUAGAUGAUCUUUGUACUAAUAUAAUUUAAUCACAACAAACAUUUGAGACUUUAGUGUUAUGAAAACAUUUUAUUGGAUUCACUUCUAUAUAGUUAUAAUAUAGAAAUUAUCUAUAUAAGUUGGACUACCUUAUGGAGAUUUUAAUAAAACAAUUACUAUAACAACAUUCUAUUUGUUUUUACAAAUAUUUUAUGUGAACUAAUUAUUGUUAAUGAUCAAUGCAUAGGACGUAGGAAAGUUCGGGGGGACAGUCGAGGUGUUAGGACAGACAAAUUGAUCCAAGCAAAUGGAAGUCGACCACUUGGUGGGGUUGAGAUUAAACCUGAAAAUAAUGCUCCGAUUGGUGUCAACAAUAGUAGAAUGAAAUCUGAAAUAGGAACCAUUGUAAGAAAUUAUGCACCAUUGGACGUUGAGAAGUGGGCUGAUAUAUCAGAAAGUGACAAAGUUUUCAUGAUGGAGAAAUUGCAGGUAUGAUGCUUGAAAAUAUUCCUAAUUUGAUGCAUAAUUUUUCCAUUACUAAUUAGGUUUAGUAAUGAAAUGAUAAUUUAUAUGUUAUAUGUAUACCUAUGCAUGUAUAUGAGUGAAAAUUAAUGUAGACCUUUUUGACUUAAAGUUAGAAAUGUUAAAUGAGUGUUAUACUAAUUUAAAAUUUGUGAGCUUGCUAUUUGUUAGAUUUGCUUUGGUAUUGAUACCAUAUGGGUGUAUGUUUUUGCAUUAUUAUUGUUGUUGUAAUUAUUAUUAUUAUUAUUAUGGUAAUUUGACUUCCAUUUUUGGAAGAUGUGAGAUGUAAAAUUUUAUGUUAUAUUACAAAACAUAUAUAUUAGUUUGAGCCUAUGGAAAACAAUACUUUAUCAUUAUUUUCCAUUUUCUCCUUAGAGGUAGAGGCAAAUAAAAAACUAUUCCAUGUAGAUUAAAUAACCAACUAAAAGUCGUAGUUAAUUUCUAGUCCUCGUUUUACCAUAUUAAUGCAUUCUAACGUUAAAUUUUGUAAGCAUGUGAUCUUUAUAAUUUUAUUACCUUCUAUUUUAUCCAUUACUAUCCUUACACUAUCAUGAUUUAUUCUAAUUAUAAAGGUUUGUAAUCAUCUCCAACUAAAAUCCCAUAUAGAGUUAACUUGUCCUAUUUUUUCUUAUAUUUUUUUCAUUCUCUCUAAAAUAUCUAAGUAUUAGUCCACUAUGAAUAAUAAUAAAUCAACUUUAGUUUAUUGACUAACCUUUCUUUGGUUAAUAAUCUUACUGGCUUAGCUAAUUGUGACAAAGAAUAAGAAAAAUAUCUAACUAUUGUACUAAAAGUUUUAUUUAUAAAUUUCAAUUGGUCAUCUUAUUUGCUUAGAAGCUUAAAUAUUUCUUACUUCACUAUUUGUGUUCUAGGAAAAGUUUAUAAUUGAUUUUACUCAAGAUCAUGUGAAAAAGGCUAUAGAAGGCAAAAUGGCUGCAAGAUACAGAGAUCACAUAAACAAGUGCCACAAGCAUUUCAAGAAGUACCCAACAAUAGCUUUGGCAAAUCAGAAUCCAUAUAAGCAUGUUAGUGAUCAAAAGCAGUGGGAUUGGUUAUGUGAUAGAUUUGCCUCAGAAAAAUUCCAGGUAAAGAUUUCAUCAAAAUCUUGUUUGGUUUGCUUUAUCAUGUUUAACAUGAUAUUAUAUUUUAAUAUUGAUACUUUGAUCUUAACUUUUAAUCAUAAAGCAACGCUCAACAUUGAACACUGAAAACAGAAUGAAGUUACCUUUUACUCAUCGAGGUGGAUCACGGUCCUUUGUACAACAUGUGGAAGAAUUGGUAAAAUUAAGAGAAAUUAUGUUAUUUUUAUUAAUGCUUUUAAAUUGUUGAUUACUGUACUUCACAAAUGAUUUAACUUUAUUCUUUAGUUUAAUGAGAUAUAUCCACUUUUAUCUUUGGAAAUAAUUAGCUUAUUAAAUGCUUAAUAUUGUCUUUAUUGUAUUGAAUCAUGUGUUGGAUCUAAUAUUUUGAUUCCAUCCUUUAACUAAAACUAUUGUUAUUAUGUAUAGAUUUUGGUCAUUGAAAGCUAUGGUGCAUUUCAUUACAAUUCCAUACUCUUAAGACUUGGUAUGAAUGACAAUAUUAAAUAUUCUUCUACUUGCAUGUUUUCGUUAGCCUUGAGUUUAAUGUUCAUUUGUAAAACAAAUAUAUGUCUAUACAAUGAUCACUAUGUUAAACUUGAAGUAGGAUAGUCUUUUUUUAUAUAUAAAUAUCGAAUUCCAUACUCUUAAGACUUGGUAUGAAUGACAAUAUUGAAUAUUCUUCUACUUGCAUGUUUUCGUUAGCCUUGAGUUUAAUGUUCAUUUGUAAAACAAAUGUAUAUCUAUACAAUGAUCACUAUGUUAAACUUGAAGUAGGAUAGUCUUUUUUUAUGAUGUUAACAUUACUUUAUACAUUAGAAUAAGUCCAUAGUAGCUAUAAUAAGGAUGUAUUUUUUUAAUAUAUUUUUAGGAUGAAUUUAAGGCAAUGAAAUUGAAUUGUUAAAUUUAUAUUUUUGUUGCUUGUAUAUGUAUGUUAUUAAGAAAAUAAAGGAAUAGUCAACAACUUAAGUAGGUGUCAAUAAAAACCAUGACUAGAAGGCAUGUAUACUUGUAGCAAGAAGAUUUCAGCUUUUACUAGUUGUGGUAGUAAUUUCUUGGGAAAAAAAUAUGGACCAUUUGUGAUUUUUCAAAAAUAAAGAAAGACAUAUAGCCAAGGUACUAUUAUAUUCAUAACAUAGAAGGGUUCUAGAUAUGACAUGUCAUGGGCUAUGAAAAUAGGCCUAGUAUGGUCAAGGCAUGUUAAGCCUUGACCAUAGGGUUCCUUUAUAAAACCAAUUUUUGCAGCCUUCUUUUUUCAGUAGGUGUACACAUUUGUAGAGAUGAUUUAUCCCUUCAAUAUUAUGGAUUUGUAUUAUACAUAUAGAUCAUUCAAAAAGAUUAAGUUACAUAUAAAUAACACAACUUAAGACCAAAAUUAAAAUCAAAAGAAUUAAUAAAUCUUUUAAAUUAACAAAAUUAAACAAAAAAUAUGGACUUUGGUGAAACCAAGUCCAUCUAACCCUUUUCUAAUAGAGGUUUCUUUGGGUUUUUCUUUCCAUCACUACUUUCAUCCGGCUCCUUUCAAAAACCUUUCAACUAUGUUUCACUUUUUCUAUAUCUCUAUAUGUAUAUAUUCAUAACUAUUGUUUGAAUUAGAGAUUUUAAAUUAUUGGUUAAUUUAUGAUUUUGGUGAAUGAUGAAACCUUGACCACUUGCAGCUAAGGGUUUGAAUUAGAUUGUGUAUUAUACCAUGCUUUUAAUUGAAUUUUGAUCUUUCCAUCAUUCUGAUUUUUAAUUUUGCAGAUAGUUGGUAUUUGUAGUGUUAGAUCUAAGGUUUAGAGUUUUUCUACGUUUAGCAUUUCACAAUGAACUUAUUUGGCCUUUGUUGAUUACUUUGAUCAAUUUUUAUACUUAUUUGCACAUACCUUUCAUGUCAUGCAACCAAAUUGUAUAUUUUAUGUUCUAUCUAAUAUUCUAGAUAUGUUUCUUGAUUUGUUUUCCUUUUAGAAUAGGGAGUUUGACUUGUAAAUUUUAUAAUAUGCAUUUUUUUCUUUAUACAAAGCAUAUAUAUUUGUUUCUUUCUUUUUAAGUGAGUCAAUUUAUUAUAAAUAUCAUAAUUUUGGCUAGAAAAAUAAUAAUAUAACAAAAAUUAGAUUAUAAUACAACAUUAAAAAAUGACUUACUUUAUAUUACAAUAAACAUAAAAUAAAAAUCUGGUUGUUUAACUUGCAUAAGAGAUCUUUCUUGUGUGACUCAUGAAUUUUGAUCACCAUGGAUGCAAAUUUAUUUGAGAGGUUCUAUAUAGUUUAUUGUUUCUUAAAAUUAUAUUUAUAUUUUUUUUUUACUCAUUCUUCAUGUUAUUAUCUAGGCACGACACACCGGACAAGCACCAGGACAAAUAGAACUUUUCAAGUUAAUGCAUUGGAAUUCUCAAAAUGGUUGGAUAAACCAAGAAGUAGAGGCUUCUUAUGUAAGUUUUCUUUAUAGAAUCUUCAGCUUGCUUAUUUUUUUAUUUAAAUAUGAUUUUCAAUUUGUUUCUAACUUGUAGCUUAAGUAGGUCACUAUACAAAAUUAGUUUUUCACAUUAUGUAAUUUUUUUAUUUUCAUUUGACCGAGUUUAAAAAUGAUAGAUAAAAAUGAAUUAAAUUGGUCUUAUUAAAUUUUGUGAUUCUAUAUAUAGUAGGAAAAUUUUAUGAAAUUCUAUAGAAAUUCAUAUGAACCUUCCAAAAAUUUGCCAUAGUCAUAAAGAACAUGCUAUGAAACUUAAGCAAAUUGUUUUUUUUCAUGAAAUUCUAUAGAAAUUUAUAUGAACCUUCCAAAAAUUUGUCAUAUUCAUAAAUAACAUGCUAUGAAAAAGUUUCAAUUUUUUUUUUCAUGAAAUUCUAUAGAAAUUUAUAUGAACCUUCCAAAAAUUUGCCAUAAUCAUAAAGAACAUGCUAUGAAACUUAAGCAAAUUGUUAUAUAUAUAUAUUCUCUUUUUGCAAUAAAUUAUAGUUGAAUUAGCCAAGUUGCCUAUUGAAAAUAUUUUAUUUAAUUAGUUUGUGUUUUACAUUAUUUUACAUUUUUUUUUUUUUUGUAUUUGUAGGAAAAAAUGUUAGAAUUGCAAAAGCAACCAAUGCUAGAAGGUGGUCAAGCCUUGAAAGAGGCUGAAAUAUGUGUUCAAGUGUUAGGGUUAAGAUCUGGAUAUAUCAAGGGCUUAGGUCAUGGCCCUCGACCACCCUCAUCCUCAUCGAAAUCUACACAUAAGUCACAUCGAGAGAUAGAAUUGGAGAAUGAGCUUAAAGCAACACGAGAGCUUUUACAAAGUCAAGAGACUCGAAUCCAGCACCAGCAGUCCCAGAUAGCUCAAUUAGCUAGUUUUGUUAGUGAAAUGCGCCAACACAUGCAUAUUCCAGGAUCAAGCUCAAGAAGUUCAUCUCCUUCAGAUGAUACACUGCUUAUGGAUUCUUAGUCAAACUUCAUGGAUGAUGAUUGACAUUUUCUCCAUUAACACUUGGUUUGGAGUUUUUUUGGACAUUAUCUUUCCUUGACAUGUAUAUAUGGUACUUUUAUUUACUGCAUUAUUUUUUUUUGGAUGUUAUCACAUUUUGUAAAUGUGUUAUUUUUGUGGCCACAUUUUGCACAUGUGUUAGUUUUGUUAUCACAUUUUGCAUAUGUGUUAGUUUUGUUAUCACAUUUUGCACAUGUGUUAGUUUGCUUGCUACAUAUCAAUCUUUACUAUUUUUUAUUUUUAUUUUUUUAUGUUAUCACAUUUUGCACAUGUGUUUGUUUGCUACUUUUCUUUUACUUUUAGAACUUAUAACAUUUUACAAAUGUGGAUGUCAGUGCUUACUAUUUAUUUAUUUAUUUUGUAUAUGUGAAUAUACCAAAACUCUUUUGCAUUCAAUGGAAUAUUAUCAAUUAUUUAUUAAAGCUUUGUUGUCACAUAAUUUAUUUAUUCAUUUGGAGUUUUUAAUUAUCAAUUAUGUAAUAAAUUAAGUUAUAACAAAAUUUAAUUGUUUAAUUAAGUUUUAUAAUUUAAAUUUAAAUUUAAAAAUUGGAAUAUAUCAAUUGAAUAUAUUAAAAUAUGAUGACAAAAUUAUUAUAUACAUAUAGACAAAAGUUCAUAUGUUUAGAGCCAUUUAUUUAUUUUUUUUGUUAAAAUAUGACCUGAACUUCCAACGAGGAAAUAAAGUUUUGUUUCAAAAUCCAUUUGGCAACAAAAUUAUAAUUUUGGUCAUUGUAUGUGUCUAAUUUGGCGACAAUUUAAUUGAUUAUCGAGAUUUUUUAGCAACAAAAUUUUGAACAUUUAACAACAAAUCUUUUCGUCAAAAAAUAUUAUUGGAGACAACAAAAAAAUUAUGUCUCUAUAAACUAUUAGAGGCGAAACAUUAAAUUUGUUGCAAAAACUUUUCGUGACGAGGAUAAGGCGACGUUCGUGAAACAAAAAAAAAAUUCUCGCAAAAAUGUUUUUGCGAUAAUAUUAACUUUUUUGAGAUAAAAUAAUUGUGUCGCUAAUAAUCAUAUAUCUUGUAGUGUAUAUAAAGCAACCAUUGAGCCCUUCAUCCCCACACAAAUCUUCGUCACCUAAGCUAGCUGCCAAACUCACCCGACCAUUUUCAUUACAUUCAUUGUUCAUUACUCGGAGCCUACAGCCAUGGCUUUUGUAGCUCUUAUACUCGUGUCCCUCCUUCUUACUCCUUUCGUUUCUGUUCACUUCUCCGAUGAUGUAAAAUCAUGGUGCAGCCAGACACCCCACCCUCAACCUUGUGAAUACUUUCUGAGCCAUAAGCCUGAUCACUCACCCAUCAAACAGAAGUCUGAUUUUCUCAACAUAUCAAUGCAACUUGCUUUGGAACAUGCCAUGAUUGCUCAUGGUGACACCUUUUCCCUAGGCUCCAAGUGUCGGAAUGAGCGAGAAAAGGCUGCAUGGAAUGAUUGUCUCGAGCUCUAUGACCACACCAUUCUUAAGCUCAACAAAACUCUUGAUCCCAACACUAGGUGCACCCAAGCUGAUGCUCAAACAUGGCUCAACACUGCUCUUACCAACCUCCAAACAUGCCAAGACGGGUUCAUCGACCUUGGUGUGUCAGGUCACUUUUUGCCCUUAAUGUCCAACAAUGUUUCCAAGUUGAUUAGCAACACUCUAUCCAUCAACAAAGUUCCAUAUUCUGUGCCUACUUACAAAGGGGGUUACCCAACUUGGGUGAAGCCUGGCGACCGAAAGCUUUUGCAGUCUUCUUCUCUAGCUUCGCAGGCAAAUAUUGUGGUGUCCAAAAAUGGUACACAUGAUUACACAACAAUAGGAGCAGCAAUCACUGCAGCAUCCAAGCGAUCAGGAAGUGGAAGGUAUGUGAUAUAUGUGAAGGCAGGGACAUAUAGUGAGAAUGUUCAAAUUGGAAGUGGUUUGAAGAAUAUAAUGUUGCUGGGUGAUGGGAUUGGAAAGACCAUAGUCACUGGAAGUAAGAGUGUGGGAGGAGGCUCUAUUACAUACAAUUCAGCUACAGUUGGUUAGUGUCUCUGUCUAUUCUCUAAGCUCUUGCAAUGAUGUUACUCCUUGUCUUACAAUUAAGGGCCACAUACAAGCAUUAAGUUAAUUACCAAGACAUGUGAUUGUGCUUUUGAAUUUCAGCUGACGGCUUCAUAGCUCGUGGCAUGACAUUCCGUAACACUACUGGAGCAUCCAACCACCAGGCAGUGGCUCUACGAUCCGGGUUGGACCUUUCAAUUUUUUACCAAUGUAGCUUUGAAGGGUACCAAGACACUCUCUACACCUACUCUGAGUGACAAUUCUAUAGAGAAUGCGAUAUAUAUGGUACUAUGGAUUUCAUUUUCGGAAAUGCUGCAGUUGUGUUUCAAAAUUACAAUAUUUUCUUCAAAUUGAUAAAUGAUAGUUUUUUCAUUCAUACUUUCAUUCGUUCAUGUACAGAAUAUAUAUACAAGGUAAUCACCAUUCUAAGAAUGGGAAAGAAUGAUAUAAGGAAAUAACAACUAAUAUCCUAAUAUCUCAACUUUUCUAAUAUCUCAAUAUUCAUAAUAUCUCAAUAUUCCUAAUAUCUCUACUUUCCUAAUAUCUAAACAUUCAUAAUAUCUCAACACUAAAUGAUAUAAGGAAAGAAUGAUAUAAAGAAAGCAUUCCUAAUAUCUCAACACUCCCCCUCAAGUUGGUGCAUAGAUGUCACACAUACCCAACUUGUCUAAAAAUUUUGAGAACACUUGACUUGAGACAGCUUUGGUGAGGAUAUCAGCCAAUUGAUUUUCUGAUCGAAUCUUAGGCAAUUCCACAAUCUUAUCAUCCAACUUUUCCUUAAUGAAGAAUCUAUCCACCUCGACGUGCUUUGUACGAUCAUGUUGUACUGGAUUAUGAGCAAUGUCACAUGCGGCUUUAUUGUCACAAAACAAUCGGAUUGGUUGCCUAGAUAGGUAACCUAAAUCAUGUAAUAGGAGUCUUAGCCAUAAUGCCUCCCAAAGUCCUAGAGCCAUACCUCUAAAUUUCGCUUCUGCGCUUGAACGAGCGACGACAUUCUGCUUCUUACUUUUCCAUGACACAAGAUUACCACCUACAAAGGUAAAGUAACUAGAUGUAGAUCGCCUAUCAUCCACUACACCGACCCAAUCAGCAUUAGUAUAUACUUCUAUACUUUGAUGAUCAACAUUUUUUGCGGACAAAAUUCCCUUCCUAGGAGCAUUCUUCAAAUACCUCAAAAUACGCAUGACUGCAUUCAUAUGUUGCUCUCCGGGAUUAUGCAUGUAUUGACUCACUACACUCAAUGCAUAAGCAAGAUCUGGUCUUGUAUGAGUUAAGUACAUUAAUCUCCCCACAAGUCUCUAGUAUCUUCCCUUAUCGGUUGAUACUUGAUUAGGUUCAACACACAAUUUCAGACCUUCUUCUAUUGGUGUAUUAACAGGUUGACAUCCCGACAUUCCAAUCUCCUGUAAAAGAUCUAGGCAUACUUUCUUUGAGACAGAAAAAUUCCUUCACUUGAUCGAGAAACUUCAAUCCUAAGAAAGUAUUUCAGAGGACCUAGAUCUUUCAUUUCAAAUUCUCUAAAUAGAUCAUUUUGUAAAGCUUUUCUUUCUUCAGGAUUAUUUCCUGUAACUACCAUGUCAUCCACUUAUACGAUAAGUGUCGUAAUCUUACCAUGUUGCUUUUUCAGGAACAAAGUGUGAUUUGAAUUACUUUGACGAUAGCCAAAAACUCUCAUUGAUUUUAUGAACCUUCCAAACCAUACUCUCGGGGAUUGCUUCAACCCAUACAACGACUUCUUCAAUUUGCACACCUUCUGACAUUGUUUUUCUGAUACCAUGCAUCCUGGUGGAAGAUCCAUGUAUACUUCUUCAGAUAACUCGCCAUGCAGAAAGACAUUUUUCACAUCGAACUGUUGUAAUAGCCAAUCUAGGUUUGCAGCUAAAGACAGUAAUACUCGAACUAUGUUGAUCUUAGCUACAGGUGCAAAUGUCUCUGUGUAGUCAAUUCCAUAAGUUUGAAUGUACCAUUUUGCUACCAGUCUUGCUUUAAAUCUUUCAAUACUACCAUCUGCCUUGUACUUCACAGUAUAGAUCCAACGACACCCAACUGGCUUCUUUCCUGGUGUACAUUCUACGAGUUCUCAUGUUUCAUUCUUUUGCAAUCAUUUCAUCUCUUCAUUCAUGGUUGCUUUCCACCUUGGAUCAACUAAGGCUUCCUGCACACCGUUAGGAAUAGCUAUAGUAGAUAAUUGAUUUACAAAUGACUUAUUUGAUUUAAACAAACGAUGGUUAAACACAUAGUUGCUCAUGGGAUAUUUGACUUUGGUAGACAAUUCAGGUUCAUAUGUGGGUUUAGGAAUACCUUUAUUAUGACGGUGUGGUAACCGUUUCAUGAAUGGAUCAGGUUCCAAAUUAAGAACACCCUCAGCAGAUGAUGAUUGGUUUGGUAUUUCAGUGAAAACAUCUUCGGACCCAAAUUGUUGACCAUUCAUAUCCAACUCACCCGCUUCCUGGUUCACUAGUUCAGAUUGUCUAAAUUCAUCCUCCUCAGAGAUAUGAUAAUCAUAAUCGAGAGUCUGAAUUUCCUUAUGGUACUCCCCCCGAAGUUCAGACUCAGAUGAAAAAUACAUCGAAUCUUCAUGAAACACCACAUCCAUUGUAACAAACAUUCGUCGAGUUGGAGGAUGGUAAUAUCGAUAUCCCUUUUUGUGCAAUGCAUAUCCAACAAACACACAUUGCAAUGCAUGGGAAGUUAACAUGGUGCGUUGGUGUUUGUGUAGAUGCACAAAUGCCACCAAAAACACGAGGAGGUAGAUUUGGGACAGUUGGGGCAACUAUGGCAUUAGUAAGAGCUUGGAGAGGUGUUUGGAAGUUAAUUGGGCUAGAAGGUACCUGAUUGAUCAAGUAUGUGGCAGAUGUAAUUGCUUCUCCCAAAUAAGAUAUCAAUAUUUUUGCUACUAUCAAGGAAGCACGAACAACCUCUAACAAGUGCCGAUUUUUCCGUUCAACGACUCCAUUUUGCUGGGGUGUAUUGGAAUAAGUAGUCUGAUGAAUGAUGUCAUGUUCUUCCAAAUACUUUAGAAGAUUAGAACUCUGAUAUUCUCCACCAUUAUCACUACACAAAACCCGAACCUUUGCAUUGUAUUGAGUUUCAAUCAUUUUAUGAAAUUUUUGAAACAACAAGUUCACUUCAUCUUUGGUCUUCAUCAAGCAUAACCAUGUCAUUCUGGUACAAUCAUUAAUAAAAGUAACAAACCAACGUGAGCCACUCAAAGUUGGGACUUUGGAUGGACCCCAAACAUCAUAAUGUAUAACCAUAAAAGCAAGCGAACUUUUAUUCAAAAUUAACGGAAACAAAGCACGAUGACUUUUAGCCAAUUCACAAAUAUCACAACGAAAACCAGAAAUAUCACUCUUUGCAAACAAACUAGGAAACAAUUUUUUUAAAUAACCAAAGGAAGCAUGUCCCAGACGUCGAUGCCACAACCAAAUUUCAGACUUUUUCUUCUCCUCCUUAGAUCCAUCUGCCAUCAAGGCUUGUUGCAACUUAUUUGAAUCCUUUGACUGUAAGUCCAAGUAAUAGAGUUUUCCCCGCUUAAUACCACAACCAAUCGUCUGUGUCUUGUUUAGAUGUCCUUAAUCACACAAAAUUCAGGCCAAAAAAUGACAAUACAAGAUAAGGCUACAGUAAUUUGAGAAACUGAUAAAAGAUUGUAAUCUAGAGAUGGAACAACUAAAACAUAAUCCAAAUUCAAAGUAUCGGUAAGAGUUAAGGAUCUUUCCCCAAUGACUGGGGUUGUGUUACCAUUGGCCGUGAAAACAAUUUUUGUGAGGAAGGUCUAAGGGGUGAAACCUGUCUAGAAUCAAAAGUCAUAUGAUCUGUAGCACCAGAAUCAAUUAUCCAUGCACUAUUAAUAACAAGUGUAAAAGUAUUUAAAAACUUACCACCAUGAUCUGUAGCAGCUACCAAUGCAGAGGCUUUCUCAGCAACAUUAGCUUUUGUUUUUAUUUCGACAAUAGUUGCAGUCGAGGUUUUCUUGGAAUUUUUCUUCCGUUGAUCACGAUUAUUAUCAUUAAUAACAAAGUGGUGAUAACCUAAACAUGAUCUAAAGGUCCAUGGUUCAAAUCCUCGGUUCCUCAUUGUUUUCCUGGUCAUACCAAGAGUCGUUGCUUUGAAAUUGUGGGAUAUCCAAAUUGGUGAGAUUAGUCUUAUUGCAUUGAGUGCAUUUGAAGGUUGACUUGUCAAUAUUAGGGCUUGUCUUAGGAUGGUUGAUCGUUGUUGGACUACCAUAGCGACAAAAUAUCCAGGAUUUCAAUUCCAUGGCUCUAAUACCAUCUUCAAAUUGAUAAAUGAUAAUUUUUUCAUUCAUACUUUCAUUCGUUCAUGUAUAGAGUAUAUAUAGAGGGUAAUCACAAUUCUAAGAAUGGGAAAGAAUAAUACAAGGAAAGAAUGAUAUAAGGAAAUAACAACUGAUAUCCUAAUAUCUCAACUUUCCUAAUAUCUAAACAUUCCUAAUAUCUCAACACUAAAUGAUAUAAGGAAAGCAUUCCUAAUAUCUCAACAUAUUUACGCACGUAACCCUCCCAACAAGAUCAACACAGUAACUGCCCAAGGUAGGACUGACCCUAACCAAAACAUUGGAAUUUCCAUACACGACUGUAAGGUUACAACUGCUUCAGAUCUAAAGGUUGUCCAAAGCUCGGUCAAGACAUACCUUGGGAGGCCAUGGAAAGAAUAUUCUCGGACCAUCUUCCUAAAGACCUACCUUGAUAGCCUAAUAAACUCAGCUGGUUGGUUGGAAUGGAGCGGUGACUUUGCCCUAAAAACCCUAUAUUAUGGAGAGUACAUGAACACAGGCCCUGGGUCAUCCACAUCUAGUAGGGUAAAUUGGGUUGGUUAUCAUGUGAUUACUAGCUCAAUUGAAGCAGCAAAGUUCACUGUUGGUAACUUCAUCUCUGGCAAUUCCUGGUUACCAUCUACCAAGGUUCUUUUCACUUCUAGCCUUUGAAUCAGUCCAAUUAAUGGUAUAUGAUAUUCUAUCAUCUUCCUGUAGACAUGUUUCUAGAUCUAGAUAACCUGAAUUCCUUGUAGGAGAAGAGAUAAAUUGGUGGGGAAUGGCAAUGAUCUCUAAAAUCUAGCUACAAUAGUUUCAUUGUAUCUUACUACAAAUUGUGUUUGUUGGAAUCCAUGCAAUGAUCAAUGGCUAAAAAUAGAAAAAAAAAAAUGAGAAAGAAGAACACGGAGAUUUAACGUGGUUCGGCUAAUUGUCUAUGUCCAAUGGAACUCCAUUCCACUUCGCUAUGCUCCCGUUCCAUUCCACUUCGCUCCCGUAUUUGCCCCUUUUUCUCCAUGUCUUUUCGUUCAAAUAUGAGCCACAUAUUACAAUAGUGUGUUAUGAUUCUUUAUUCAUUGUUGUAAAGAAUGAUAUUGAAUGAAAUUAUAUUCUUUUUGUGAGUCACUAAUCUUCUUUGAAAUCUUUUGAUUCUAAUUAUUGGCAUCUGUUAACUGCUCCAAUGAUUUGCCCGUAAUUGCAACAUAACUCGCUGAUCGUUUGUAUUCCAAAAUGACAAGAAGUCUUCUUGUUUCGUAAUUUUACAACUGCUAGAAUGAAAGAAGUGAAAUCACUAGGAGCAAGAAAAACAAGGAUAUAAGGGCUAGAAGUAUUACAAUAGUGAAUAUUAUAUAGUUCAUAUUUGGAUAUAUUUCAUUUAAAAAAAAAUUCAAAAGUAGAAAAUCUUAAAUAAAAUAUAGGAAUUCUUAUACAUACAUACAUAUAUAUAUAUAUAAACUUUUUACAUUUUUUUUAAAUUUAAAGAAAUAAAAAUAUUUCACUUUCUAUGAUUUUUUUUUAAAAAAAUUUUGAAAAAACUUUUAACAAUGCAAGGUAAAUUCUUUCCUUUUAUGUAAAAGGUCUUUGCUUUGUAUAGAAGUUUUUAUUUUUAAAAACAAAAAUAAAUUUCUAUUUUUUAAAAAAGAAAAAUAGAUUUUUUUUAAAAUAAAAUAAAAAUAGGAAGUAUAUUCCAAUGCCACCUUAUUUUAUUAAUUUGAUUUGCAGUUGAAUAGAUAAUAAUGAGAGCAUGGACUGAUGGACCGCUCACUACCCCCUCCCAAACCAAAACAAAGGACCUACAUAUUCAACACUCCUUAAUGUCUAAAUUGUACCAUACCUACGACAUCCAUGAAAUCCACUUUUUUUUCUCAUAACAAAGAACUUUGUAAGCCAUAAUAUUAUCAUAUCUUGAUGCUUUCUUUGGCCACUAACUCUAUGUGUUUCGUGCAUCAAUGAAAUACCAAGUUCUUUUUCCUUGCAAUUUUGGACUAAUGGUCGCUUCACAAAAACCAAAGUUGAAAACAUAGCUAGUGAUACUUGUAGGUAUUCGAUCAUCAUUUUAAUUUGCCCAAUUACUAUAAAGAAACACCAUAAAGCUUUAAAUUGUUAGUGUUAGUGUACUGAAUACAAUAUGAGCUUGAUCAUCAGCUUCCAAGAAGAUCUUUUACGUACUCCUCUUCCUUCACAAUGCUGUUUCUCUUCUAGCCCAAGAAAGCAACUUAUCAAGCUAAUAUCAGUCAUCUCAAAUUCAUUAAUCAUCAUAAUUUUGAAAUUCUCCCUACUGUAUCCAAAGAAAAAAAAAACAUAAAACAAAAUUAAUGUGAUCUCAUAUUUAUGCAUCCAAAAAAUAGGGUUAUCCUCACUUUCAUUCGAAUGAUUUGAUUCUUUCCCUUUAGAUGUAGAAUCGCUCCAAGUCACUUGCAUAAGUUAUUUUUCUUUUUUUAAGCUAAGGCAAUUAGAAAAAUAUGCCUUUAAUUUCCCACCAUAAGUAAAGCAUGCAUUCAACUUGAUUUGAUUUAGAUAAGUUAUUUUCUUUUCUUUUAUUUCUAGAGUUUUAUAUAAAUUUUAAAUUUCUUAACAAACAUGGAUAUUUCAGAAUGACUAAGAAUAAGUCCACUCUCAUUUUCGAACUCAACCUUUUCUUUUCAAGAAGUUGUUAGAGCUGGCUUUUUGUAUCUCUUUGAUAGGGAAGAUUCAUCUCAUAGGUUUGUGGGAACCUUCUAACUCAUCUACUCUUAAUGUAUCCAUGUCUUACUUUCUUUUAUGGGUGUAAGUUUAGGCCUAAAUCUCUCAAGGAAAAAUUUCAAUAUCCUCCUAACUACCUUAGAAUUAAGAUUUUUUUCACCAAAAUUAAAAUAAGAAUUCACAAUGUCAAUCAAUUCAAUAUAUAUAGAAUUCAGACAAUGUCUCAUCUUCAUUCAUUCUGAUGCUUUUAAAUUAGACAAUCAACAUUUUUUGUUUAGAUAGCAUCACAGUAGAAGUGCCUUCAUAAGUUAUAUUCAAGAUAUCCCAAGCUUCUUUAGCAUGUUUACAUAUUACUAUCCUUUUAAAUUCAUAAGACUCACACCAUUGAAAAUACCUUAAAGAGUCCUUGGAUUGACUUCACUUCUUUUAUUGUCAAACUUAUAUGAUCAUUCUUUGAUUGUUUAGGUAGAAUAUGCACAAUUUUUUUUUCUUUUAAUCUGGAUUCUCUAAAUAAGCAAAUCGAUUAAUUAGAGAUUAAAAAAAGAAAAAAAAAACCAAUACAAAAUGACACUUCAAUCUACAUAGGUGCUUAGAAAAUUUGUAGAUACAAAAAAAAAAAAAAAACCAAGACAUGUAGUUUUACUUAAUUUAGGCGCAUCUAUUCCUCUUAUACCUAUCAGUAGCUAUUAGUUUUUUUUCUUUUUCUUUUUUCACUUCCAUAUGCAUCAUCUCAUGCUCCAAAGUAAAUCACCUCAACACUCUGCCAAUGCUAGUGGUUCAAUGCAUGUUGCCUUUCUACUAAAAUAUUUCUAAGGUUCCUAAACACCUCAACAUUGUGCCAAGGCAAGUGGUUCAAUGCAGGUUGCCUUUCUACUAAAAUAUUUCUAAGAAGGUUCCUAAAAGAUGUAAGAUGUUGAGUGAAGAGUACUAAGGAAGAGCAAUGGCUACCAAUUCAUGUGCACACUUUUUAGUCUAGAAAACAAGGUCUUUAUAUCAAAACCCUAGAAGGAUAUGUGGACUAGGUUUUUUUAAAGCAAUUUUACCAAAAUGUCUAAUGAAAAUAUAAAAAUCAAACUAAUUGUCUUGAUGAUUCAAUAAUUUAUAUUCAAAUAUUAUUAUGAUCUAAAUUAAUGUACAAAAAUUGAUUCAUAGAUCAAAAUUUCAAUGGACUGUAUCAUGAUUUAAACCAUCUUAUAAUUUGUCCAUACUUAAAACUUUUAAUUGCAAUACCGUGAUACCUAAAAAUAAUAUUGUAAAAAUAUAACCAAAUAUAUUUAAAACAAUAUUUGAACAUAAUGUAUUCUCAAAAUUAUUUGUGGAUAAUAAAAAAUUAUCACUUUGAUAAGAAUACCAUAUGUUGAAACAUUUAAUAUUUAAUAAUAACAAUUAUUUUUAUGUAACUCAAAAUUUUGGAAUCAUGGAAAAGUCGUGACUUGAAAAAUUGACAUAUAAAAUCAAAUAAGUUACUUGUAUGACCAAGUCACAUAUUUCACAUAUAUUCAAAAUAUAUAUAUAAUCAAGAUUUCAAAGAUGUUUUUAGAAAAUUCAAUCAUAAAUCAAAUAUAUACUUCGUACCAGUUUUGAUAUAUUUCAAAUAUAUCAAAACAAAAUCUUCAUUUUUCAUCCAACAUGGUAUCAAAAUAUGUACACUAGACUUUAGAAAAUCUUCAUACCUUCAUGUACAAAAUCGUGUAUAUAUAUAUAUAUAUAUAUAUUCUAAGAUAUGUCAAAAACAACAUAUUCUCAUUAUUAUAAUAUUUAAAAUGAAAUAUUUUUAUAUCCUAAUAAAUAUCUCCAAUAUUGAGAUAAGGAAAAACAAAUAUUUUAAUAUGUAUCUAAAAGAUAUUAUAUAUCAAGAAUUUUCGACAUAUAAGUAUAUAUGAUGAUCAUAAAUUUCAACUUUCUAUAUUAAUAACAAACAUAUUUCAGUAUUAUAUAUAUCUCUUAGAUAUUAGAAAACAAAGAUUAAGUCAAACUUUUGAUUCCUAAAAUAUAUCAAACUCUUGAUGAAGUCAAAAACCAACCCUCAAUAUCUCAGAUAAUGAUGAGGAAGGGAUUGAGAGUCAAGAACCAACUUCUUUGACAAUAAUACGGCAUGCUCUUGAGCUAACAAAUGGGUGUGAUGCUGAGAAAGAAAAUAAUGAAUAAACUGAGAGUCCCAGGGCUAAGUAACAAUUUCUGGUGAUAAGGAAGGUCUAAUUGCUUGAAGCCAGUCAAGUUCAGGAGUAGCAGCAAAUUUUGAUAUUUGUAUAAUACAACUUUGCAAAUAGAAAGCAAACCCAAAGCUCACUUUUCCCUAAUUUUAAGUCUAAGUCAUAUUUUUUUAAUAUUAAUUUUGAAAGUUAGUUAAUCUGGUUUAGGUGUUUCCUAGAGGGGCCAUAGGUGUUUCAGCUUUUUAAGUCAAAAAUUAAAUAUUUUCAAUUAUUUAAAGAUUUCCUUUUAAUUUAGGGAAGCCCAAUGAAUAAUCAACAUAAGAGAGACAAUAAUUUUUUAUAUGAAAAACCACUCAAUACAAUGAGCAAAUGCAAAAACUAUAGGAUCGAAAACCUCUAAUCACCAAUCCACUAUUCAAAAGUACAAUACACAAUAUAUGUGGCGGAUGCUAUCCCUAAAUCUCACUCUCCUACACCUACACUGAACUUCAUGUUUGCAAUGCAACACUACGUACAAGUACUCCUAAUGGAUAUUAUGUAAGCGCUUAAAGGGAUGUAGAUCUUCUUCUCAACCUAGAAAAUAUGAAGACAAAUGUCUGAAAGAGUUUGAAACUCAAAAAAGGUUAAUAUUGUUUUUGGUUUACUAUUCACAUCAAACCAAAAACCUUUUUAGGCAAGGUAUUUAUAAUAUACAAAUACCUAGUGAAUUCAAAUUAGGAAUUCCAAAAUAAAUUCUAUUACAAUUGUAAAAUUAAUCAAAUUAUACAAAAUUGAAAUCCUGCCACAAAGCUUGAGUGCCUUAACAAGUUUUUAAAAUCAUUUUAAAACAUCUUUGCUCAAUUUAAAAAAUAUUCAAUCCAUGCAAGUUUUAUAUAAAUCUUAUGAACUUUUCUCAAACCUUUUUAUACUUACAUGUAUCAUUCUAGUUAAUCAUGCAACAACCUUAAAUCUUCAACGAAGAGUAAGAUAAAUAAUAUAGAAAUUUUCUAUACCAAAAUAAAUGGAAUAAAACUAUCAACUUAAAUUAUAUAGUCUAAUAUACUAAUAAAUUUCUAUUUAGAUUUUAUGAAAUCAAAUCUAUUUAAACUACAAGUACCCAAAAAAAAAAUGCCAUUAAGUGCAGGUUCAAGUCACCUAGAUACUUGUAAUACUUGCAUAUUAUAAAGUGGCUGAAUAAUCAUAUUAUUUUGUUUUUUUUAAUUACUCUAUAAUCUUAAAAUCGUGAAUAUCGAAGGGAUUUAUUGGCCGUUGGGAAAUUUUUUAAAGGAAUCAAGAAAUUAGUUUUAAUAUAUAUUUUUAUUCCCAAAGUGUUGUUAGUAUUAAAUAAUAUACGCACUUCGUCCAUAAUUAGUUUCUUUACAAUUUCAAGUAAUUUGUGUUCAUAAUUACUUAGGUAUUUUUGUUCUACAAAUGUGACACUUAAAAUAAUUUGUUGUUUGUUUUGUUACAAAUUAAUUUUUCUUACACUAAUAUAAUUAAAUGAUUUAAUAGCUUAGACUAAAUGAUCAAAUUGACGAACUUCUGAGAGAAAAAGAUAACAGCCCGACUCUAUUAAGUGGUUUCACUCCAUUCGAUCGUUUUUAAUAUUGCACUUCUAACUAUUUCUUCACUUAACUAAGGAGAUAUUUUUGCUACCUAAUUCCUAAUCUAGAAAACCAAUUUGAGUCCUUGAAGGCAUGAUGAAGGUGAUCAUCUAUCUAUAGGGUUUUCAAAUUUUCCUUGCUUUGAAUAUCGAUGAGACCGAAUUCCCAUCUCUACCAUCUUUUGCUUGCAAAUAAAGAUGAAUUCUCUUUGGAUGCAAAAUACAAAUUUAAUCACCAUUCUCAACCUCUUGGUGGGCCUCCUCUCCAGCUAGAGCAUCAGAAUAUAAAUAUUAAAAUGGAACUCACAGGGUUCCUUCUUAUUAGUCACAUGCACGUGACAUUAUUAACAUUUGAUAGUCAAAAGGACUGAGGCGGAGAAAGCGGAUGUUUGAAAUCAUUCUUUGGAUGUGUGAAGCCGCGUUUUUAUAACCCAGCUGGAUGAUGAUGCCGACAACUGAUUUAUGUACAUAUUCCUACUUAACAAUCAGUGACAGAAAAAGACUAAUCUAAGCCGUUCAUCUUUCGGUUCCCAUAACUAUUAUCUUAAGGGAAAAGUUAAUUGAUAUUCAUAGUGUUAAAAAGAGAUUAUUUCUAGGAGAAUUUGAUAUUUUUAACUCUUGCAAUACAUACCCAUUUCCAUGCCCAUGCGCCUGCUGAUUUUUAUUUUCCCAAAUAUUCAUUAAUUAAGGUAAAAUGAAUCUGAACCAAGUGAAAAUGGCCACAUCUCUAUAGAUGCAGGCCAACUCUUGACCAGCUGGUUGUGUCCACUUGAUGCUCUCUGCUGACCCCACACUAGAAGAACAUGAGGAUGAAGGCGUUCCAUGCAUGACCUGCCCCGGUUUCAUCCUUUUAAUCUAGUCAACAAAUAUUAUACAUGUAUUAUUAUGGAAGGGUCAAUAAUGCUACAUCCUAAACAUUGUUCCACGAUAUAGGAAGAUACAAUCAAACUUGAUAUUGCCUACUCGAAAACACAAUGCCUGGCCUUCAUUACCAACGCCCCUAUAUAAACCAAUCAUUGAAGCAAUCAUCUCCACACAAACCUUGAUCAAAAGCUUUAAGCUACCAAAUUCACCCCAUUUUCUUACUUCCAAUUAAGCUUGCAGCCAUGGUUUUUGUAGCUCUUGUACUCGUGUCCCUCCUCCUUACUCCUCUGGUCUCUGGUUACUCCUCCCAUGAUGUAAAAUCAUGGUGCAGCCAGACACCCUACCCUCAACCUUGUGAGUACUUUCUGAGCCAUAAGCCUGAUCACUCCCCCAUUAAACAGAAGUCCGAUUUUCUCAAUAUAUCAAUGCAAGUUGCUUUGGAACAAGCCAUGACUGCUCAUGGUAACAUAUUUUCGCUAGGUUCCAAGUGCCGGAAUGAGCGAGAAAAGGCUGCAUGGAAUGAUUGUGUCGAGCUCUAUGACCACACCAUUCUUAAGCUCAACAAAACUCUCGAUCCCAACACUAGGUGUACCCAAGUUGACGCUCAAACAUGGCUCAGCACUGCUCUUACCAACCUCCAAACAUGCCAAGACGGGUUCAUCGAGCUCGGUGUGUCAGACCACUUUUUGCCCUUAAUAUCCAACAAUGUUUCUAAGUUGAUUAGCAACACUCUAUCCAUCAACAAAGUUCCAUAUGCUGAGCCUAGUUACAAAGGGGGUUACCC